AACAAAACAGUCAUGGAAAUGAAGCCUGAUAAGGCUGGCACCGAUACGAAUAUCGGACAAGAAAGCUUUCUGAAGCACCCCCCGAAUUAUGUUGGUUACAUUAGGGCAUGUGGAAGAAUAAAAAAAGGGAGACAGUUGAUCAGCUUGAGAUGGUGAUGAUCCCUUAAGAACAAUAGCAACUACAAGAGCAGCUGCAAGAAGAUAGCGCAGAGUGGCCAUUUGAAGAGAUCAAUGAUAGUGAGAGCUAUCCAUAACUCUCUUGCAUGACUAUUUAUAAUCUGAAGCAAACAGGAUUAGAACUUGCCAACAACCAAGAAGUUUCACAUUGUAUAUUGUAAAAGUCAACUGUUUUAAAAUAAAGUAUAGUAGCUUAUUGUGGGUGUUUUUAUACUUAUAUUUUAAUAUAGAAAUAAAUUGUUUUUGGUAACUUUCAAAAUAAGUUGGGUAACUAAUUUUAAAAUAAUUAUGUUUUAAAUAAAAAUAGUAAUGUAUUUGAUAGUUUGUUUGAAAGAAUUUAGUAAAAUUAAAGAUUUGUGAGGCCCAUCUAUUUUUUAAAAUUAAUAGUUGAGUUUUAAACGUGAACUUAUUUGGUGGCUGCAAAUUAUGAACCCAUUUUUGAUUUCGGUGAAAAAGAAAAUGUAAAAUGCAAAACAGAAAACGUAAAAUGGUUUGAUGAAAUAAUUACGUGAUUAAUUUUUUCCCAAAGAUUUAGUGAAAGCAUAUUUUUCUCCACAUAUUUUUGAAGUCGUACCGAUCCUCCCUGCUGUUUUAUUUAUUUAUUUAUAGUAUUUACAGAAACGAAACCAAAACUCUCCUCAGUCCUCACCCACAUGAGUGGUUGAAUCUAAGCCACUUAAAGUUAAUAAUUCAUGAAAUGGUGCCUUUGUUUGGUGGCGACCGUGGCCGGGGCCUUGGCCUCUGAUUAAUAUUAUUUCUUUUAGCGUGUGGAUUCCACAAAUCGAAACCCUUCGGAAUUUUAAUUAUUAUUUACUGAAAUAUCAUUUUGCCUAUGACUUCUAUAUAUUAUGCCUAUAGCUAGUGAUUGUUACGUAAUUCAUAUUAAAAAUUAAUUUCAGAGUUGUAACUAUUUUAAUUAACUGAUGUAAGGUAAAUUCCUUAACAGACAAAUUCAUCUUUGUUCUCUUAGAUUAUAAAAGAUAAAAGGCACGUAAUUAAGUUUAAGAGAAAACUGAUUUAAAUGUCAAGGAUGAAACGAAAAAAUAAUAAGAGACUCGAAUGAUAAAAAGAAUUUCUAAGAGAACGAAAGUAUCAUUCGACAAAUAAAUUUAGAUUCAUAGACUUUUCUGUCCGAUCUAAUAUUAAUUCUUAGCGGUGAGCCUACGGCAGAAGCCACAUGUAUACAUAAUUUUUAUUGGUUAAAACGUGACAUUGAUGAUGUUGAAAAAAAAACAAAUGAUAAACAAAAUUACGCGUAGAAAGCAGGAUGUGAACACACAAACACAAGUUUAAUUAAUCUAUUUGAAAAUACAUAACAUCUUUCAGAUAAGACCAUUAGAUUAAACUCAAGUUUGAUCGUUAAUUUAUUUGAAAGUACAUAACAUGUUUCAGGCAAAACGAUAAGAUUAAAUUUGAGUUUGAUAAGCACAAAAACUCUCGCGCCUAUGCUGCAAGCUAGCUUAUUUAGAAAGAGCUGACCAAAUCACCCUCUGAUGAUGAUCUUGUUGCAAUAUUACUGUUUCCAUUGACCCUCCUGCAGUUCAAUCUAAUCUCCCCUUGAUUUCCUGUCAGUGGUUUCAAAUUGCCCAUUCUUAUCAUUGAGGUCACAAAGUUUUUAAAGAAAGCAGUCUGGUUCCUCCCAAAGUCCUGGACAAUGGCAGCGGUAUCGGCACCAGGAGUCGAAAACAACUCUUGAUCACUCUGCAGAAGGCCUUUGCGGCCUCUAAGAUUGGAGAAGUAUUUGUUGUCGAAAACAUCAGGUGUCGUGACAUCAAAAUUAGCAAGAACGCCGCCGUUUCCACCUUGUGGGCAUAGUUUCCUCAGUUGUUGUAAGAAGGUUGCGUCUAGGGUUGGGUCUGGCUUGCCAGUAUUGUUAAAAUCGUAUAAUCUGCCCCUGAAAAAUUGGCACUGAGCCCUUCCGAACGUGUGAGCUCCUGAAAAAACAUGCAUGACCAAAUCUUUGUUAUUUUUACUGAAUUCACAUACGAGGAACAAUAAUGAUAAUUUUAUUGUUAGGGAUAUUAUUUAAAUAUUGAGUUAAGUAAAUAUAAAUUUAAGGCACCAACACUCAUUUCUUGAAUUAACUUUUGAGUAUGAGUUACUAUUAGCAGGCAGUUUUGACUCCUAAAAGUUUACUCUCAUAACUUUACUCAAGUAACUAAAAGGAUGUAGAAGCAAUUAAUAAUUACCGGAGAGUGCAACAAGAUCAAACUUGUCAUUGAGGCCAACAUUUCUAAAACUAGAUUUGAGCACAUCAAGAGUAUCAAAUGGUCCUGGAAGAUUCUGAUUUGCAAGAGCUCUGUUUGCCGUUCUGCUGUCCCUUCUUCCCAAUGGAACUGCCCAUGACGGACCCCCUGACUGUAACCAAAAGCCAUUCACUCAAAAUCAGCAAUAAUCUUAAGAGAUGUGCGUUUGGGGCGGACUAUUUAAUUUGCUAGCCGUUGAAUCAAACUUUGUCGUAUAACAAAAGAAGAAAAUUUUAAGUUUAAAACUAAGGCCUUGCUACGAUGCACCAGCGCAGUAAAAAGUGUCUCACUAUCAGUAACAAUUUAUCCGUUAAUAAUCACUAUAUUGACAUAUGUGUAGCAAUUUUGGUACCAUACAGUGUAGCUGAUGCACUAUAGUCAAUGGGAGAAAUUUGUGGUGUAAUUGUGGUACCGUAUCAGUUAUAUUCAGUCGUUGGAUACUAAUAGACCUCAUCAAUUUAAAUACAUUUAACGACUGAAUAUAAUUAUAACACGGUACCACAAUAUCAUACCACAGUUGCACCAUAGUCUGAUCAUGUCUGAUCAUAGUCCAUGAGCCACCACUUUUAAAUAAUGGAGUCCACCACGUCGUCCGAAUUUAAAAAUGAUGGGUCCAACAAUGAAUCCCUUCACUUAAAUCAAUUUCCACAUGGUGGGGCAGUUUUGUCGUUGAAUAGCAGCGCAAUAACUAGCAAAGGCUAAACAUGUGGACUCAGAUCUUGCACAUUGUUCUAUGUGAAUAAUUAUUUAAUUAAUGUAUUCUUCUAAGGAUAAAGUUGAACUCACGGGUUAUUUAAUUAACUGAAAAAAAUAAUAUAAAAACACGUUAAAUUUAUAUGGGUUAUUAUUAAUUGAAAAAAUAGUUAAAAAUUACAUUAAUACUGCAAAGAUUUACCAUUAUUCUAUUCGCUUAUUCUGAUACCCAUAUUAAUUUACUUCUAAGCGUAAAAUAUUAACCAGGAAGAGGAGUUGGUAAUAGAAAUUCAUACCAAAGCAACGGAUCGUUCAGCCGCAAUAGUAAGAAUAUCAGCGCAGGAAACAACCCUUGGACAUGCCUUUUCAACGGCAGCUUUCAUGUUAUCAAUAACUUCAAAACCCCUCGCCGAAUUAUUAUUUGGCGCAGCAAAUUUCUCGCUGUCUAUGGUGUUAGUGCUGUCCAGCAAAAUCGAUGCAUCACACCCCUGAAAAAAUAAUAUUAAUUAACAACUUGCUAUGUUAACAGUCCAUUGUAUUGUUACUUUAACAAGUAGAUAGAUUCCUUCUUAUCUUAUGGACAGGAAUUCAAAAAAACUAUAUAAAUAAUGCAAACUCUUCUUAUUUAAAUUGUCUUAUUAUUACAUAAGUUUUUAAGACUAGGAUUUCCUGUUGAUUUAAAUUUUUCGGUUGGAAGAAUAUAAAACAAGUGUGAUUUAUUUUCAACCAUACACCAUUAAUAUUGGACCCAUGAUCAUUAAAAGCACUGAGCAGGGAUGAGGCCAUGAGAUGGAUUUUAAUUCCUGUUUUGGACCAAAUCUUUGCUAGAUUUAAAUUUCUAGUGCAUGAUGAAAACCCCAUAUUAAAAUUUAUUUAUAUAAAAAAAAAUUAAAUGGUCUUCGGUACAUCUAAAUUAGAGAGGAAAAUUUUGUUGUACGGCUGAAGCGAAAAAAUCAGAUCUUUUAGCUUGGGGUUGGGGGUGAGGAUCUCUACGUGCAUGAAUAUGCGGUCAGAAGAGAAUGCAAUGAGUAGCAGACAGAUAAAAGAGAGAAGAAAAAAAGGUAUAUAAAAAUGGUUUUGGAUGUUGUUGAACUUAAAAUGAUAUAUUCAAACUCUUCCUUAGGCUUUAUGAAAACUCUAUAUUUUGUUUAAUGCCAUAAAAAAUUAUAAAGAUACUGUUCAUUGUCAUACUUGAAACUAUGUUAUAUCAGUAAGUACAUAGACAGAGAGCUUGAUAAAGUAAAGAAGAUGAAAAAUGAGCGAGCAGAGAUUGCUUCACAUCAACAAAACAGUCAUGGAAAUGAAGCCUGAUGAGGCUGGCACCGAUCCGGAUAUCGGACGAGAAAGCUUUCUUAAGCACAUCCUCGAUAGUGUUCAAUACAUUAGGGCAUGUGGAAGAAUAAAAAGAGGGAGAAAGUUGAGCUUGAGAUGGUGAUCCCUCAAGCACAAAAGCAACAAGAAGAGCUGCUGCAAGAAGAUAACGAAGUGAAGCCAUUUUGUCUAAGAGUUACUAGAGAAAGGCCUCUUUAUUUAUAACCAAACAAACCAGAUUAGUAUUAGAACUUUGCAGCAACCUCGAAGUUCCUCGUUUCACUGUUUGAAUAGGUUAGUUUCGUUAUUAAUUCUCUUAAUUAGGUUUAUGUGAUUUAUUUCUUUUUGAAACUACCGUGGCCCAUGUGACCAUCUAAGUAAACUAUAUGGACGUAGAUUUUUUUUUUAUUAGUAAAAUAAAAUUACUAGUUAAUUUUCUUUUUUAAAUUUCAUUCAAUUUUUUCUUUCAUGUUUAAAAGCUUAAGUCUUCAAUUAGAUUCUUCGAUUUUAAUAUUUUUUUCAAAUACAAUAUACUAAUUAUGGUGCAUUUGAAAUUACAUGUCUUAUUUUCAUAAUGAUCUUGAAAUUUACAAAUAACCUUCGUUUUUGUGGAGAGAAUAUAAGAAAGAGGAAUAUUUGUUUGUAAAAUUUUAUUUAAAAAAAAGUAUAAAUGAACGUAUUAGAAAUGCAUGUAUAUCAAACUUAUUUGAGAAUAAAAACUUAUUAAAAUGAAAUCCAAAAUCCUGAGUAAUUAUUCAUGAAAAGAGGGACUAAGUUGAUAAUUCUUGAAAUGGUGCCUUUAUUAGGUAGGGGCGGCGACGCCUUGAGUCGCUUUUGUUUAAUGCCAGCUUACCUGCUUCGUUUAUCGUAUGUGUGAAUGCGGAGCAUGUGGCGUGUGGAUUCCACGUAUUCGAAAUCCUUCAUUUCAACCUUUUGGAACUUUUCAUUUGUUUACCGACAUAUCAAAUAUCAUUUUGUCAGCUUACACAUAGGUAGAUGCGAGAUUGAGACUCAGUAACGUUUAAGUCAUAGUUAUUAUAGGGAAUAAAAUAAAUUAUUAAAUAAAAAUCAAUAAUAUAAUAUUUAAAUAAUAGUUUUGCUAGAAGUAGUAAAUAUAUUAGAAAAUUUUCAUCGUGAGUUUAGAUCAUCUUAGUUUUUAAAGUACAGAAAUAAGCGGUGGUUCUCUCACGCGGACACCCGCAGCUUAAAAAAUAUGCGGACACUCACGUUUUGAAUUUGACCGUUGGAUGCCAUCAACGGCUGAAUUAAGUUGUGACGUAAAGACAACUACUGACAUUUUCAGCCACUUUGGCCGGGUGGUCAGGGCUGUUGCCCUCUAACGUGGAGGGCAACAGUAAGAACCCCCACGAACGAACAUAUUGUGAGAAUAUUUUUUUUCUCAAUUAAAAUUGAGUGAAGAUAAUUUUUUUUUUUUAUCUGAGAGUGAGGAGUAUACAUCAUUCAAAUAUUUAUAAGGGUUAAAAUCUGGACAGAACUUUAUUAAUAUUGAUAUAAAUUAAUUUCAGUAAUAAUCUAUUUUAUAAAUAUAAUGUAAUAUAAUUUAUAAUUUAACGAAUAAUAUCAUGUAAUAAAAAAAACUACUGACAUUUUCUGCCUGUGGGCCCGGUCUUCAAAACUUUGAAAAAAAAAAACCAUUUCUUUCUUUUAUUCAAUGGCACCACGUGAGUAUAAAAACACAAGGACAAUAAUUUCUAUCCUUUUUUUCCCCAAAACUAACUUGUUGAUUUUUAUUUUUCAAUUUUCAAAGAUCAAUAUACAGUCAUCAUCACCACCAUUUUUGCUUCUCCAUCUUUCCGUCAUCAAAAUUAUCCUUCCGAUCAAAGAAGAUGAAGCAAAGAAGAAAAACACACUUCGGUAAGUCACCUAAAAAAAAAAAAAACUUAACGACCCAUCUAAAUAAUCAAGCUGAAAGGUAUCUCUAACAGAAGGUUUUCUAAAAAAAAAAAACAAAAAAACAAAAAUUGAGGAAAUUGAAGAAGGAAAAACACAGGCCAGGACAUUCUUAAUUAAGAAACUUGAAAGUUCAUGAAAGAAGAGCAAGGCAUUUAAGCCACAGGUAAGAAAUAUUAGAAGAUUAACAUGUUGGACACGUCAUCUCCGGCCACAUUGCCGUUGAUGAUGAAGAUGAUCCAACGAUUUGGCUUCCUGGGUGUGGGAAGAUGGAGUUGGGAGAAGAGAGAGAAAUUUAAAACUAGUAUAUUGUGUUUUUCUAUUCACAUGGUCCCCAUUAAAUAAAAGAAAUACUUUUUUUUUCCAAAGUUUUGAAGACGGGCCCACACAGAGAAAAUGGCAGCAGUUGUUGCCUUCACAAUUUAAUUCAGCCGUGGAUGGGAUCCAACGGCCAAAACGUGAGUACCCACAUAUUUUUUAAGUCGGAGGUGUCCGCGUGAGAGAACGACUGUAGAAAUAAGUAUUUAUGAAAUAAUUUAGUAUUAUAUUUUAAAAGGUACAGCGGUCUUACUUUAAUUUCAAACGAGGUCUUGAUUAAUUGAAACCACAAGUAGGAGUUAAAUAAUUAAGAAACGACAGGAUGACUUUUUGAAAUAGGUAAAAAAUGAUUUUGUUAAUGAUCAUGAAAAAGGUAACUGUGGCUACUGGCUACUAAUGUUUUCUUUUCUGGGGAAAAAGGAUCAUAAUAAUUGCGAAAUGGUUUAGUGAAAUAGUACGGAGAUUCUAUUGGUUUUAGAAUUUAUAUAGGCUCUUUUUUGGUACACACAGACCCCAAAAAUUGUCAAAUAGAUUUUUAAAAUUUGUCCAAAAAUAAGUUUUGUUAUCCCAUAAGAAAAGUGUGUAUUGAGUAUUUCUGAAAAUAAAAGAUUCUUCCCUACUAUUUUGUCAAACUACGGAUGUUUGACAAAAAGUACAAAGAAAUUUGUAAGAAUAAGGUGUUUUUCCGGUUAGUAUUUUAAAGCUAGAGGAUAAAAUGGACCACUAAAAACUGAAAAAUGACUCAAAUGACAAUGUGUAUCGAUGACAUAGGAAAAAAAAAUACACAUGACAAGGAUUUCUUUUUUUUUUUUUGAAUACUGAUUAAACAUCAGAUUACUGCAUUACACAGAUAUUUACAACAACUGCUAUUAUAGCAGAUAUAUUACACUGAUAAUUACAAUCAAAUAUACAUAAUUGGGACUUACAUUAUUACAUUGAAUUCUCUGAAGUAUAUGCCCAGACAAAUAACCCCUCACAGAGGAAGGAUGUCCAUACUCCACUCGCAUUUCGCAAGGGAGAAUGAUUUUUACAUAUUAAGAACAUUUAGCCCCCACAAUGCUUUUGUGGGGGCUAGAACCGCUGCCCUCACAAGCCUUGUGAGGGCAGCAACCCACCACUUCGGCCAAGGCCGAAGUGGCAUGACAAGGAUUUCUGAUACAUAGAAAGCAAGGAUGUGAAUACACAAACACAACCUUAGUUUAUUGAAAAUAAAAAGCAUGUUUCAGGCAAAACAUAGGAGUAAAUUCACGAGUUUGUAACCCACAAACUAGCUUAUUUAGAAAGAGCUGAUCAAAUCACCCUCUGACGAUGAUCUGGUUUCUAUAUUACUGUUUCCAUUGACCCUCCUGCAGUUCAAUCUAAUCUCCCCUUGAUUGCCUGUCAAUGGUCUCAAAUUCCCCAUUCUUAUCAUUGAAAUCACAAAGCUUUGAAAGAAAGCAGCCUGGUUGCUACUAAAGACAUUGACAAUGGCAGCGGUAUCGGCACCGGGAGUCGAAAACAAUUCUUGAUCACUCUGCAGAAGGCCCUUGCGGAUUUGAAGAUUGAAGAAGUAUUUGUUGUCAAACAAAUCAGGUGUUGUGACAUCCAGAUUAGUUAGAACGCUGCCGUUUCCACCUUGUGGGCAGAGUUGCCUAAGUUGUUGUAAGAGGGUUGUGUUAAGUGUUGGGUCUGGAUUGCCAGUGUUGCUGAAAUUGAAUAAUCUAUCGCUAAAAGUUCGGCACUGAGCCCUUCCAAAUGUGUGAGCUCCUGAAAAACAUGCAUAGCCAAUCUUUGUUAUUUUUACUCAAAUUCAUACAAAUUAAGGAUAAUAACUGAGUUUCAUUAUGGUGGUUCUCACUUUUCUUUUUGGGAAGCAAUUCAAAUUUCAUGAUGUGAUUAAGGGGAGUAAAUUUGUCAAACGUUUUAACAUAUUCCUAAUCACCAAUGUCAAACUUUAAAACACAGUUUCUUCGUAUCAUUAGGAUAUUCAGACAAGCCUCCUAGGUGCUGUAGAGUAUGAAUGUGCUUUGUGUCGGUGGUCGUCUUAGUAAGAGUAAUAAUGAGAAAAAAAAAUUGAUAUUUAGUGGAUGAGAUUUCUCAUCCUUUUCAAAAUUUAUUUUUUCUUUUUAAAUAAGAUAUUCAACAUUUAAACUAUCUCUAAGAUUUCAAGACUCAGUAUUGGCAUUAAAAAAUUUUCCACCUCCAGAUUUCUAAUUCUGGCUCCAAUACUGCUUUAUCCCAAAAGACUCCAAGGUCUGUUUGUACUCAAGUCAAAGGGCGUGAAAGCAAAUAUUACCGGAGAGUGCAACAAGAUCAAAAUUAUCGUUGAGGCCAACAUUUCUGAAUCUAUCUUUGAGCCUCGUAAGAUUAUUGUUCGGUCCUGGAAGAUUUUCAUUUGCAAGAGUCCUGUUUGCUGUUCUGCUGUCUCUUCUUCCCAAUAGAUUUGUCCAUGAAGGACCCCCUGACUGUUACCAAAACCACGAUCAUUAGUCAAAAGCAUCACUUGAGAGAUGCAUAAUAAGCAAAUUUAACUAAAAUCAGAAAUUGGUCUUGUUGCACCCAAAAUUAGCACUUUCCCGGCGUUACAAUUUUGAGUGAACGGUUCAACCAGACUGUAUCAUAUAAAGAAGAUAUUUUUUUUUUUAAUUUUCAAAAUAUAUACUGGAACCCAACACGUAAAACUGAUGUGUCCUCGAUGAAUCUCAUCACUUUUUUUUCCGGGGGAGGGGGGGAAGGAGAAGCCUUCCCUUUUCAUACGGUAAAGUUUGUUCAGGCACUAUCACGAAGUCAACAUGGUAAUGUCGGUGGACUGUGGAUUCAUCUAGUUAAAGUACUCAGGGUCUGAAAAUUCCAACACGAAUGUAAAGUCAAACUUACUCUCUGAUACCUUAGAAAUUUAAUCACUUUUAAGCUUAAAAUAUGUAGUCGAGCAAGAUGAUGAGUUGUUAAUAGAAAUUCACAUAUACCAGAGCAACAGAUUCUUCAGCUGCAAUAGUAAGAAUAUCAGCACAGGAAACAACGCGUGGACAGGCCCUUUCAACGGCAGCUUUCAUGUCAUCAACAACUUCAAAACCCCUCGCCGAAUUAUUAUUUGGCCCAGCAAAUUUCUCGCUUUCUAUGGUAGUAGUAUUGUCCAGCAAAAUCGAUGCAUCACAGCCCUGAAAUAACAUCAAAAGCUUGUUGUGAUCAACGUCUGUUGUAUCGUUAAUUUAAUAAUUAGGUAGAUUCUUCUUAUCUUACGAUUAAGAAAAAUAAUGCAAACUUGUGCAUUUUCUUUUUGGACAAAUUUUCUUAUUGUAUAAUAAGUUUUUAAGACCAGGAUUUCCUCGUGAUGUAACCUUUUUCUGAGCUUAAUUGUGAUUGUUAGAAGUUAAGGAUAUAAGUGUACGUAGUUAUAUUUCAAUCAUAAAUUACUAAUAAUAGACAUGUUACACAAGAUUUUUUAAAAUACUAUGCAAUACUCAGAUUAAGGGAGGACCUUAAUUAAUAUUUUAAAAUAUUAAUUGAAAAAGAAGAAAAACUAAAGAGUAGAGAUUGAUUACAUUAACAAAACAGUCAUGGAAAUGAAGCCUGAUGAGGCUGGCACCGAUGCGAAUAUCGGACAAGAAAGCAUUCUUAAGCACCUCCCGAAUUAUGUUGGUUACAUUAGGGCAUGUGGAAGAAUAAAAAAAGGGAGAAAGUUGAGCUUGAGCUGGUGACGAUCCCUCAAGCACAAAUGCAACUACAAGAGCAGCUGCAAGAAGAUAACGAAGAGAAGCCAUUUUGCAAUGAUGAGAAUGAGAGUUAUAUCUGAGCCUUCUAUAUACGCGCCUCUUUAUUUAUAGCCAACCAAGCUAAACAGGAGUAGAACUUGGCAACGACUAAGAAGUUUCACAUUAUAUUGUAAAAGUCUACUGUUUGAAAACAAAGGCUUAACUUAUAUGAUGAGAUAAUUACAUUAUCGAUUUUCUCCCUAAAGUUUGGUGAAAGCAUAUUUUUCUCCACAUACUUUUGAGGUGGUAAUGAUAAUUUAUUAUUUGCAUCUCAGUAUUCUAGAAGUAUGUCAAGUGUAGCUCGGUUGAUUGUGAAUGCAUUUUGUGUCUGUGAUCACCCAAGUUCUAAUAAUAAUAUGGGGCAAAGGUGGUUGUUUAGUGGAUGGGAUUUCUUGUCCCCAUAAGAGCUUUUUCUUUCUUUUUUCUUAUUAAACAAAAGAAAAGGCCAUACAACAUGGAUAUUAAAAAGGGACAAAACUCUGGUGUAACUGUUGUACGGUGUCACUAGUUUGUCUCUUUAUCUUUUGAUCCCUACUUUAUUUUUUUAUUUAUAAGUUAUUUAUAAAUUUAUCAUAAUUUUAUUUUUUCUCUUUUUCUCUUUUCCUCUAUUUAUAUUAAGAUAUUCUGUACAUUUUUUCUCCACUUAGAUAAUUAAUCAAUCAUUAGUCAGCAACUCCUUUCAAAUUAAAGUAUUAUCAACUAGCCGACUACCUCAAUUAUUUUUCACAUCACAACUAAGACAAAAUGGAAAAUUUUAAUUUGAAUAUUCGAAUGACAAUUGUGAGGUCAUGGCAAUUGAAUAAAUUAAAAUAAUAAAUCAAAUCUAUCAGUUAUAAGUGAUUGAUGUCAUAUUGAUUUAUAUCUAUAAAUAAAGUUUGAGUUUUAUUAUUUUUGAAUAACUAAUAACUUUCAAAUUAAAUUUUAUUGUAGUUAUUUUUUUAUUUAAAGUCUAGUAUGCAUAUAAUUUAAAGUGGUGAUCAAAGUGUAAGGAAAGAAAAUAAUACAUUUUUUUUAUAAUUAUUUAUUUAAUAUUUUAUUUUAAUAAUGUCAUGUUAGUUUUAUUUUUAAGCUAAUUUAUUAAUUGAAUUUUAAUGUGAAGUCAUUACUUAUCUCAUUCCUUUAAAAAAAAAUAGAAUUAGAUAUUGAUGUUUAGUUUUAUGUCUGACUUUUUUAACUUGAGACAACUUACCCAUUUUUUAAUUGUUUAAAUUAUUCACAAAAAAAAAAUCUGUGAGGAUAUUUCCACUGCGCUUUUUAUGUAACAACACCCUAUCUUUUUAUAUUUUUAUAAGGGUAAUUUUUAAAAACCUCCCCUGAGGUUUGGGCUUGUUGCAAGUAAAUGGCGAGAAUUUAUUUAUUUGUAAAAAAUCCCCUACCGUCAGUUAACUUUAACAUUGACUGUUAGUUGACUGUGCAAAGACAAUAUUACCCUUAACAACAGUUUGUAGACGGAAAUAACUAAAAAAAAUUAAAAUUGUUGGCGCGAAAAGCACAAACCCUAUUUUUUGACAAUUUUAUCCUUGUCAAUUCCAAAGAUUUACAAUAUCAUAGGUAAAGAUUAUAACUAUUUCAUUUUUAAGUUUUUAAUUUUAUCUUUUUUGUAGGAACUUUAAGAAAAUAUUAAUAAUUUAAAGAGGAUUUUUCAAAUUUUUAAUUUUAUCUUUCUUGUAGGAACUUUAAGAAAAUAUCAAUAAUUUAAAGAGGGUAAAAUAGCCAACAAUUAGGAUGAAUAUUCAAUUUCAAUUUUAAAAUUUUGUUUAUAUACUGCUGAGCUGGUUUCGUAACUGAUGAAAAAUUUGUUUUAUUAGGCAAGAAAAGUUUAAGAUUUUACAGUUAAAAUUUAUUUAUUUAUUAUUACUAGUAUUUUCUGUUAUGUAUGUACAUGUUCUCCCCAGAAUGCAUUUUGAUUCAGAAACUACUGUCUGUGCAAUUAGAUGCUGCAAUGUAUGUCAUUUAUAUAUGGACAUGUCCCUCUUUUAAUUAAAAUGAUUCAUGGCAUGGCAAUAUUGGCAGAGUCGUUUAUGCAUGUCCAUUUUGAUGCCAUUGAAACUUUAUUGAGCUACAAAGCAAGAAGUGUUUUUUGGCCAAACUUUGUGCAAAAAAAAAAAAAAAAACGCAAUUGGCCCCUAUUGUAAUUUUCUGGUGACUAAGGGUGAGAAAUUAAAGAAGAAUAGUUCCCCCUUUCUAAUAUCCAAAAUUUCAUUUGUUUGUAAAAAAAAAAAUAAUAAUAAUAAAUAAAUCAGCUUAAAUUCUGAUCGACUUAAUGAGGGUUGAAGAAUUCAACUUUUUUUUUUUUUUUUUUUUGAUGAUAUGAGACUAUUGCUCAAAUUACAACUCAUAUUAUAUGAGAGUAUAACUGAUACGUACAAUCAUAUAUAUAUACUGAGACCUAUUGACAUUAAUGCUGAUAUGACACUGCUCAGAUUUUUGUAACCCUCUCAAAUAUUCGAGGGACGUCAAACUCCCAUCCUAGGAGAAAGACUGUCUUCACUCGAGCUCUGUGGCUCCAAGAAAGGAAAUAUAAAUUAAACCCCUACAAUACGACUGCAGAGAUUCGAACUCUUUGAGAGUGACUCUAGCCACUUGAACUAGCCCAAGUGGUUUGAAGAAGAAGAAGAAUUCAACUUUGAUAAAUGAUAACGUUGGAUUUAGUCCAUGCCAUCGCCAUGCCAAUGUGGACUGUACGAGGCGUGUGGAUUCCACAUACUCGAAAGUCGAAACCUUUCAUUUCAAGCUUGUAGACUUUUAUCCUUUGGACUCGACUAGCUUACAGAAUCUGUAAGGUACAGACUGCAGCAUCAGCCGUUGGAUGUGGUUGGAUGUGGAGUGAGAAACUGAACAAUAGAAAAUCGGAUGGUGGGAUGACGGGAGAUGUUUGUUACAGAAUCUGUACCAUAGACAGGUCCUUAUCCUUUUUUCUUUAUAUUGAAUUAUCAUUUUUGUCAGUUUAUACAUAAAUAAUUGAUUGAGACACACGGACAGGACCUUGCUACGUUACAGACUGUGUAUGUAACGUAGCAAAUGGGGAGCAUCCGCACAUUGCACGAGAGAGGAAAAAUUGCGAAAAAUUAGCUGAUACAAGGCCAGUUUGCACUGAACUGUUACAUACAGAGUAUGUAACGUAGCUUUGUCCACACCGACAAUACACAAGUAGAGUCAAAUAAUUAAUUACGUGACGGAUGACAUUUUGAAAAUGAUAUGUUUUUGCUUUUUUUUUUUUUUUUGAGAAUGGUAUGCUGUUAAUUUUUUUCGUAGUUGUUUUCACAAAUGAAAAUUGAUGUUUAUUUGUGAUUUCAAAUCUCGCCUCUGAUAAAGUAUUUUAAAAAUUGUAAUCUAAAUAAAUAAAUACCAAACUGGCUUUUGAUUCCCGGACCUUUUAUUUUAAGUUAAGAGAAUUACUAAUUGAACUGAUUUGAACGCACAAUCUAAAGAAUUUUUCAAUAAAGAAAUAUGUUUAAUAUAGUAUUUGAAGAAAGAAAAUGUUAUGCAACAAGUACAAAAUCGUAAAAGCAACAUUAAUUUGUGCUGCUUAGGCUUUCAACUUUUCUUCAAAAAAAGUAAAAAAUAAAAAGUAAAAAGUAAAAACACCAUUCUGUCACUUUACAUAAAUCCUUCCACAACUCACCGAAUUUUAUUCUGGCCUUAUUCUAUCUUUCCUUUUUUAUUUUCCUAUUUAAAUGGAAAAUGGUUUUUAGUUUGGUGAUGAGGACAAUAUCUAAUAUCUGCCAAAAAUAGAAAAAUUAUCCCAAAACUACUUUGAAAGAACUUUGGGAUAAUUAAUUAUAUGUAAUUGAUCAAUUUUCACAUCUUAAAUUUUAAAACUCAUAAAAAGCCAAACUCAUAUAUAAGUGAGUUUAGACUAUCUUUUUAUGUGAUAAGAACUAAAAGAAAAUGUUUGACUUACACGUGACAAGGAGUGAUGGAGAUCGGAGCAUAUUUCACGACUUAUCUGUAGCUAAUAAAACUAUAGCGUUUUUCAUGCUCUUGUACGUGGAGACUCAUUAAUAUUUUGAAUUCACUUGUAUGAACAAAUCUGAAUUAUCUUUACCUUUCCAUAAUGAAUACUCCUAAUUAAAACAAAAGCGAAAAAGAAAAGAACAUAAAAAUUGUAUUUUCUUACUAAAACUUCAAAAAUUUCUUGGAAAUAGUUAAAAUGAUCAAAUACAUUUGAGGCAUCAAACAACAAACUUCGACCAUAAUCGGAUUGAUUUUGCAAUUAAACACAACGGAUUUUGUUUCUAUAUAUCACCGAAAGUUCAAAGACUUAACAUAUUAUAUGAGUAUUGUAACUCAAAGUUCAAAGUUUAAUUUUUCCUUUUGUUUCGAAACUCUCACCUCCUGCUCUUAUUAUUAUUAUUAUUAUUCAGCCUUCUGGUACGCAACUAAGACCAAAAAUGUCUGUGACUCUGUGGUAUCAUUAUUUGCAGUUUAAUUAUAUUUAAAAUAAGACGAUUGAAUGACGCGUGUUCAUGAAGUGUAUAUAAUAUAAUAUGAAUAUGAUUACGACAUUAACUGAAAUUUAAGGAACUGAUAAGUACAUAAUCUGUUUAAAUAAUAUUGUAUGAAAGAUUUCCGAUUAUAAUUUAAAAUAUAUGUUUCUUUCAAUCUUUUUCUAUAAUUCAUUGUUCAUAUGACCCUACGUCAAGAAAAUAAAAUAUAGAAUAUCUAAUAUCUCUAUCGAUAGGCAAACAAUUUCAAGAUUUUCUGGUUAACUUGUUAUACAAAGUGUUGAGAUGUGAGUAAAUUAGGGUAAAAAUUUAUUUAGUUUCUAUAUUUUAAGAUUAGUAUUCAUUUAGUCCCUAUAUUUUUAAAAAUGUCUUGAAACAUCCUUGUCGUUAAAGUAUUGAUACCCCUACUGUUACUUUUUAUUUCUUUUGGCUUACUUUUAUAAUAUUACCCUUUUAUAAUAAUUUUUUUGUUUGGACAUUAAUAAAAAAAUAAUUAAAUUACUAAUUUAACCUUAAAAAAUUAUAUUAAUUUUUAAUUAUAAAAAAUUAUAUGCAAACUACCAAGUGUGCAAAUGGUGCUUGCAAAAAAAUUAAUAUAAUUUUUUAGAUUACAAUUAUUGUGUUAAUAUUCCUAAAUAAUCUUAAAACUAAAAGUUUGUCGAAUGACAAGAUCUUAGUUAGAUGUUUAUUUGUCAAUAAAUUAGUUAACCUAUUUUGUAAUCUGAUGACUAAGCUGUAUAUCUUUUGCUCACUCAAAUACAGGCAAAUCUUCAAUGCUUGGAAACUCUUAUUAAUAAAGAAAUGCAAAUAGCUCUUUUCAAAUUAAAUAAAGACCAAUUAUCCAACAAUGCUUACUAUUUUCUUAAGUACCGUGAUUGUGCUAAUAAAGUUAUGUGGGGAGAAAGAUAUCUAUAUGCCUAUCUGGAUGCAUGCGCCUGGUUGGACAGUAAGAAAAUGAUCGAAAUUAAAUGCCAAAGAAGUAGAUGAUGCAAAUAAAGAGGAUUUAUUGUUGAUAAUUGUAUGAGUUGACUAGCCCGUUUUACACGUGGAAAGUGGCUUCGAUUGGUGCAUGCAUGAGAUUUGUUUGAUUUUCCUGAUUUUAGAUGGUGAUUUCAAUCAUUCAGUUUGAAUUUAAAAUUUCAAUAAGUUAGAAAUAACGAUGCGCCACGGUAUAUGCGUGGAAUAUAUCUCCCUUUGGCCCUUUACUCUUUCAUGAUUUCAAUUAAUCAAUCUUGUAAUUUAUUUAUAUCUUAAUGUGAAGCAAGUGUACAAGGUACAUAUAUUUUAAGAAUUUUAAAAAGGUACGUGACAAACAUAUUUUUAAAAUUUAUUUUUGAUAAUAAAUUUCAUCCUUAAUGCAAUUCUACCUAAUUAGUUUUGUCUGAUUUACUUUUAAAUUCCAACAAGAACAUCUAAUUACCUACUUCAAGUGAAAAGUGCGUUGAGUGAAUUUCAACAUAAAUAAGGAUGGUUUGAAUAAUUUUUAAAAAUUCAUAAGCUAAUUACAUAAUUAGCCGAAACCUAAAAGACUAAAAGAGUGGUUACCCAAAAAAGCUAAUUAUCUAUUGCACUAAACUAAAAGCUCUUAGCACUUUCCAAUCGUCAACGUUCUCCGAAUUUGCCAGUCCACGAUUUAUGCAUUCUCAUUAAUUUCAAUCUUUGCUAAUGAACGUGAGAAACCAACUUGGUUCAUUUUAGUAUUCCAUUAUUUUAAUUAAAUUUGAUUAAAAAGAGAUGAUGGUGACAAGUACCAAGAAAGAUUUGCAUGAUAAUGAAGAUUUGGUGAUUGAAAUUCUUUGUAAAAUCUCUUUGGCGAUUCAAGUUUGUUUGUAAAUCUUAGUAUUGUUUAAUAUACAGGAAAUCUAAGUUUCAUUACAAAGCACCUAAAAAAGGUCAAAACCCGCUAAUUUGUCAUUUAGAUAGUUGAGAAUGGAGAUUCAUAUGAUUAUCCUAGAAAUUUUUUUUUUUUUUUUUAUGUUUCCUGAAGAUACAUUAAUAGAUUUAUCACUGCAAUAUCUUGAUGAGCAUCUCUCCAGACUUGUUACUGGAGUCCAUCUUCUGUAUUAGUAUAUUUGGAGCUUAGUGUUGCGGACUGCCUAAAUUUUCAGCCCAAGUGCCCAAGAAUUCGGGAUAAGAGCCCAAACAUAUGCCAAGAGUGCUAGUUUGGCCCGAUUGUAGAAUUUUCCAGCAAACUCUAGCACAUCUCAAGCUUGUACGUAUUUAAAAUUCUCUACACUUUUCUAACACUUGUAAAUAUCUAGAUAUUUUAACAAGUUGGUAAAAUUCUCUAGAACUCUAGAGCUUGGCAAGCCUCCCUAUAAAUAGGGCAUGAUAUUUGGCAUUUAAGCAUCAAGCUAAGAGCAAGCAACUCAAGCACUCUUCUAAACUCUCUUGUAAACACUUUGCGAGUAAUACAAUUUUAUGCUUUCGGCUCAAUUGCUCUCUUCUUUCUAGCUUUUUUGAAAACCUCCAAGUUUAGCUAGUCGAGAAGCUCAAAUGCUUAUUUAACAACUUUCGACAAGAGUUGUCUAAGUGUUGCACGGGUUCAUUGUGCAAAACACUUAUCCGUGACGUUAAGAUCACUUAACGGAAUCUCACAACUAUAGAUUACUGAAUUCUCCCAUGUUAUAGAGCUACAUGUCCACUGAAAAUGAACAUGUACUGCACUUAUUUUAGAUUUGAUUGAAUCCCAAACGUAAUGACCAAAAGUUGAUUUCGAUUAACUCAUUUCGCUAUAAAAGCACAAAUGAUAUGGACUUGCAUUUGCAUGAAUUCUCGCUUUGUACAAUAUAUAAAACCUAAGUACUAACUCUUGGAGGGAAUUAACAUGCUUCGAAUAAAAUCAUUUUGAUAUCUUUUUUAAUUUACUGUGCAAAAGCUUGGAUGGACUUUGUUACUGUUUAUCGAAUUUGAGUGAUAAUAGUAACUACGUACCUAAUGAUUAUUUCAUUUAACAUGGCAAUGAGUUGUUCCAAGAGAUUUAAUGCCCAUUCAGUAUUGCUGGAUCACCUUUUGUGAUGAUCAAUAUCCCUUUUUACUACUUUAAAAGCCAUCAAUGAUCAAGAUGUUGAAAUAUGGGAGGAAAGAGAGGAUUUGGAACAAACUAUUAUCCAUUAAUCUCAACGGAAACAUGAUAUUAUAUGAACCACACUUGGACUUAGAAAGAAUGAUUUUUUUUUUUUUUUUUUGUUGGUAAAAUCAGGCUCUCCAAGUGAACAACUGCUGUUGUAUUAUCCUGAUAAGUGGUACCUAAGAAUUGAGAGAUCUUGGACUAAUAAGUGUUUUUCUUUUUCGAUUUAUAAAUUUAAAGAGAGUCUAAUUUUUGUCAAGGGAGAAGAUCCAUGUGUUAAGAAUUAAGUGUUGAUUCAUCAUUGCUGAGCUGUCAUAGUAUCGUUGCUGAAUAACCAUGUUGGAAGGUCGUUAUGCAUACUAUUGAGAGUUGUUAGUUUCCUUCCAAAAGUUUGUUAUGUAUAGUUGGAUGUGAGCACACGAGUUUGUUGCUUUCAGAAGAUUCUACACUCAACUAUAUAAACAAUAUUGUAAUCUCAAAUUACAAUAUGUAGAAUGAAUAUUUUUUUAUUUCUAAUUUCUCUCAAUUAAUAAAUUUUCUCUUUAUUUUCUAUGUAAACAAACAGAAUUCUCAAAAAAUAUUUCACUUUAACUUGGUAUCGGAGCUCAAUCUAAUGGCCUUAACAAGUUCCAAUCAACAACCUAAUGGCACUACCAUAACCUCUUUCACCUUUACAAAUCCAAUCAAGCUUGAUUGCAAGAGCUACACAACUUGGAAACAACAAGUACUCUCUUCAAUUCGUGGUAAUGGUCUCGAAGGCUACAUCAAUGGAUCAAGGCUCUGACCUGGUCAAUUUCUUCCAUCAGGAUAUGGAUAUGAAGGUUCUUAUUCAAAUAUUGAAGGUCAAGAAAUCCAGAAUAUACAGCAUGGAAAUGUCAAGAUCAACUCUUACUUAGCUGGAUCAUGUCAUCUAUGAGUGUUGAUAUCCUCAAUGUUGUGGUCAUUUCUAAGAUUUCCUUUAAGUUGUGGAAAAUCUUGAAAAACAAUUUGGAUCUAAAUCCAUAGCCAAAAAAAGUUCAUUUAAAAAUGCUUCUAAGCAAUCUGCAAAAAAGAUCCUUAACAAUGUCAGAAUAUUUCACAAAGCUUAAAACAAUUACUGAUGGCCCAGCCUGCCUUGUGAGUGAUUAGGAUCUGAUUACUCAUCUCAUUUUUUAUUUAGAUCGGUCAUGUUAUCUUGUGGUUGUUUACAUUGAGGCAAACAUGUUAACUAUGGAUCUUAGUGAAGCAUAUACUAUGCUUCUCACACAUGAGGUUAGACUUGACAAUAGUAAGCUUCAUGACAACAAAGAAAUUAAGAAUAACUAUGCAGCCAAUAUAGCUCAAGUUGGAAAUUUUUCAAAGAAAGGUAAUAAUAAUGCUCAAAAUAACUGGAACAAGGCUGAGGGAAAUAAUUGGAACACUAAUUCUGGUGGAAGAGGUGGCUUUGAUGGUAAUGGAAGAGGAGGUUACCAGGGACCAAAUCGAGGAAAAUGAAAUUAGAAUAAUAACUUCAGAGGAUUUGCUGGUGGAUUUAACAAUGGAUUUCCUGGUGACUUCAAUAACAACUAUGGCAGAGGUGGAUUUAACUCAAGAGGUUCUGAAAAGGUUUUGUUUAAGGAGGUGUUGCUUGUCAAAUUUGCUUAAGGUUUAACCACACAGCAGCUGAGUGUAGAGACAUGUUCAACAAGAAUUUUGUCCCAAAUUUUCCUGCUCCAAGUCAUUUUUUCAAUCAAAAUCAAGGAUCAAGGGUAGCUUUUAUGACUACAUCUGAAUGAGUUACUAAUCAAGGAUGGUAUCUAAAUAGUGGAACAACUCACCACUUAACUAAUACAGUUCAGAAUUUGAAUGAUGGUAAGAUCUUUUUUAGCUCAAAUUUACUAAUUAUUGGUAAUGGUCAAGGUCUUCAAAUUACUCACAUAGGUUAUACAUGUCUCUAUACUUUUUUUUGGUACUUGUUUACAUCUGCAUAAUGUCCUGUAAACCUCCAAAAUUACCAAGAACCUCAUUAAUGUUUUCCAAACUUCUCAUGAUAAUGAUAUUACCAUUGAAUUUUUCUCUGAUGUUUAUUUCCUAAAAGACAAUGUGAAUGACACUCUGUUGGCUCAGGGGAUUGCUAAAGAUGGUCUGUACAAGCUACUGUCAUAAGAGAAACUUAUCUCUUCUUCUUCUAUGCAAGUGUUUUAACCUAGUUCUAUAAUGUCAAUUUUCUCUUUCAAUGAUGAUGUCACUUCUGUUCAAGCCUUUAAUAGUGACUUAUAUUUCUGUUUAGAGUCCAAAUCUCCCAUAAGUUUUCACACUUAGGUUAUGUGUUAGCAAAUAUAUUGCAUAAUAGGCUUGGUCAUCCAAGCAAACAUGUUAUAUAAACUAUUUUAAAGAAUAAUUAUUUGCUGUUUGCUCAUGUUGAUAAAUCAAUCCUUUAGUUUUGUGAUGUUUGUCAGCUUGAAAAAUUACAUCAAUUACAUUUUUUAGUUACUAAAAUCAAAACAAAAUGUCUUUUAGAAUUGAUUCACACAGACUUACAUGGACUAGCCAUGUUCUGUCCAUGGAUGGUUAUAGAUAUUAUAUCUCUUUUGUUGAUGAUUUCACUAGGUAUUGUUGGAUUUUUCCUUUAGUUUUUAAGUCUGAUGCUCUUACUACAUUCAAACACUUUAAAUGCUUGAUUGGAAAACAAUUCAAUCUUUCUAUUAAAGCUUUACAAUUUGAUAUGAGAGGUGAAUUUAAAAUUUUUGCAGUCUUUUCUUCAACCAAAAGACAUCUAAGCUAGAUUUAGUUGUCCUCACACACAUUACCAAAAUGGUGUUGUUGAGAAAAAGUAUAGACACAUAGUUGAAACUAGUUUAACCCUUCUUACCCAAGCUAAAAUGCAUGUUUCUUUCUGAUGGGAGGCUUUUCAAACAACCUCUUAUCUCAUUAAUAAAAUGCCAACCUCUAUUCUCAAUAAUUUAUCUCCUUAUCGAAAACUUCAUUACCAAUCACCAAAUUAUCAGCUUCUUAGAGUGUUUGACUGUGCUUGUUACCAUUUUCUUAGACUUUACAAUCAAUACAAGCUUGAUUUUUACUCCAAAAAAUGUUUGUUCUUAUGUUACAGCCCUCUUUAUAGGGGCUAUAAAUGUCUAGUCAAAUCUGGCAAAGUUUAUAUUUGCAGCUCAUAUCAUUUUUAAUGAGUUUGAUUUUCCAUAUUUUGAAUUAUUUUCAUCCUCAUCAUCUUCUUCUGAGUCCUUCCUAAUUUACUCUCCAUUAAUUUUCAUUUUCAAUGAUAGUGGCUUCAAUCAUUCGUCAAUUAUACCUCAUACCUCAGUAGUGUUACCAUCAUCCUUCUUUCCACCUUUACCUCAACAAGUUCUAUAUUUUCCUUCUUAAACCUCUAAUUCCUCAUCCCUUCAUUAUGUAUCCAAUUCACCUGUAUCACAACCACCCUCUCAACUAGUAAUCCCAACUUAUCUAAUAAUUACUUGAGCCAAAUCUAGCAUUUUCAAGCCAAAAACCUAUUUUACAACUACACAGACCUUGAGCCAGUGAGUGUUAAAAUUGCUUUAGCUGACAAGAAGUGGCAUAUGGCUAUGCAAGAUAAGUAUAAUGCUUUGUAGAGAAAUGGUACUUGGACAUUGGUUUCAGUUGAGAUAGCCAACAAACUUGUUGGAAAUAAGUGGAUUUUUCGAGUUAAAUACAACCCAGAUGAUGGCAUUUCAAAGUAUAAAGCUCGACUAGUUGUAAAAGGGCUUCAUCAAACUUUUGGAGUAGAUUUCUUUGAGACAUUCAGUCCUGUUGUAAAACCUUGCAUUGUUCCAGUUGUUCUCAACUUAGCAGUCAUGAAUUAUUGGUCUAUAGCAAUUAGAUGUCGACAAUGCUUUUCUCAAUGGCUUACAUAUUGAAUAUGUGCUCAUGCUUCAGCUAGAAGGCUUUAUUAAUCCUCAAUUUCCCAAUUAUAUCUGCAAGUUGAAUAAAGCCUUAUGACCUUAAACAAGCCCCUAGGGCUUGGUAUGACAUAUUAAAAGGAUCUCUAAUUUAGUAAGGAUUCAGGUCUUCCAAGUCAGAUACUUCAUUAUUUUUCAAGCAUAUUAGAUGUGAUAUUUUAAUCAUUCUUGUCUAUGUGGAUGAUAUUCUAAUAACAGGUUCAAGCAAUGCUCAAAUAACAUGGGUUAUUAAUUAGGUUAGAUAAGAAUUUGCUCUCAAAGACUUGGGGAAUUUCAAUUAUUUUCUUGGAUUGGAAGUGACUCCAUCUAUUGAUGGCUUACAUAUAUCUCAAACUAAGUUUGUUGGUGAUAUCUUAAGGAAAGCUCACAUACUUGACAGUAAAUGUUGUAACACACCUAUAUGUGUUGCUGAUAAAUUGCAAAAAAAUAAAGGUUGUUUGUUUAAAAAUCAUUCAUUGUACAAAAGCAUUGAUGAUUCUCUACAAUAUUUAACACUGAUCAGUCCAGAUAUUGCAUUUACAGUCAAUAAGUUAAGCCAAUUUUUGGCUGCUCCAACUACUUUAUACUGGCAGGCCUAUAAAAGAGUGUUGAGAUAUAUGCGAAGUAUAGCACAUUUUGGACUUCAGUUCUUCAACUCAGGUUCUCUAACCUUGACAGCCUAUUUUGAUGCAGAUUGGGGGUCUGAUCUAAAUGGCAGAAGAUCUAUUGGAGGAUAUUGUGUUUAUCUUGGAACUAAUCUUAUGUCAUGAUCAUCUAAGAAACAAAAUAUUGUCUCUAGAUCAACUGUUGAAUCCGAAUAUAGAGCUUUAACAUUAGCCACAUCUAAAAUUUUAUGGAUCAAUUAUCUAUUGAAGGAACUCAAAGUAUCACCCAACAAGCCUCAUGUUCUUCAUUGUGAUAAUAAAAGUGCAGAAGCUUUAGAAAACAAUCCUAAAUAUCAUUCUAGAACUAAACAUAUAGAAUUGGAUCUUUAUUUUGUUAGGGAACACGUUGCCAAUAAGGAAUUGGUCAUUGAACAUGUAUCCAGAUCUGAUCAAUUAGCUGAUGUGCUUACAAAGCCUCUUAGUUUUGAUCAUUUUGCUUAUAUGAGAACUAAGCUCAAUGUCUGUUCAAGACCUUGAGCUUACAAGGGUAUGUUAAGAAUUAAGUGCCGAUUCAUCAGAGCUGAGCUGUCAUUAUAUCAUUGCUAAAUAUCCAUGCACAUUGGAAGGUCAUUAUGCAUAUUGUUAAGAGCUAUAGUUUCCCUCUAAAAGUUUGUUAUGUAUAAGUGGAUCUGAGCACAUGAGUUUGUUGCUUUCAGAAGAUUCUACACACAACCAUAUGAACAACAUUAUAAUCUCAAAUUACAUUAUGUAGAAUGAAUAUUUUUUGGUUUCUAAUUUCUCUCAAUCAAUAAAUUUUCACUUUGUUUUCUAUGUAAACAAACAGAAUUAUCAGAACAUAAUCAAAUAGACAGAUGAGGAUUUUGACCUGAUAUGAGAAAAGUUAUAUCCGCUCUCCAGUGAUUAUAGGGGUGCUUUGCUCUUCAUGAUGUCAAGAUUUCAAAGAAAUGAAUCAAAUAAUAACCUAUUUGGCAUCGUUAAUCCUUGACUUGUAUCAAAUUUUUGUGAAUUUCAAUUUAUCAAUAGUUGUUUUGAAAGUUGAUCGAACACAUCCGUUGUUUAAAUUUGUAUUGACGAACGUGAAGGCGAUAGCUGCGCUUAAUUAACACUAUUUCUUUGCCUUUCUUUUUAAUGUUACCCAUUGUGCAGCUGAAAACUCUUUUCAAGUCGGUUUGCCAAAUGGAAUAAGCUACCCGAAAGCCGAAUACAAGAAGGCAAUAAAAGUUUAUAAUAUUAACCCGAACUAAUGUGACGAUUUUUUGUAGAAGUCGCAUCAAGUCAAACAUACUUUAACAUAUAUUAAUAACAUAUUAACUUGAUGUCACAGAUUCAGGGUUCCUUACAUUGCUAAAUUAAAAAUGGUUAUAAGGAUCUUUUAGAAGUAGUAAUUACAUGCGUGGAUGCCCAAACGAAGUAAGAAAUUUCAAUCCAUGGCAGCAAUACAAAAUUGAUGGGAAGAGAUGAAAAUGUGAACCAUCAACUUAUUCGACCCAAUUAAGGGACUGUCUCCUCUGAUGAAGUAAAAAAUAAUCCGAUUUUGGUGCCAUUAAGAAUAUUGUAUAACUAGUUUUAGGAGUGGCAAUUUGGGUUAGGAUUCGUUUACUCGAUUUGAUUCGAUGCAAAUUAAAUGAGUUUGGAUUUGAAAAAAUUGUUUCGUUUAAUAAAUAGGUGAAUUCGAUUCAAUUAAUUAAUUAAAUGGAUCUAAUCUGGGUUUUAGAACAUUGAUUCAUUUAUUCGUUAAGGAUUCGUUUAGUAAAUGAGUUAUAAACGAAUCGAAUAUAAUCCAUUCGUUUAAAUUCAUUUAAUUAAAUUAUUUAUUUAUACUUAGUAUGAAAAAACCUUAAAGUGAAGGCUAAUAUAAUAAUUAUAAAUGAUAAUAAGUUUGUAUUUUGUAGGAUCUUAAAUUUAUGCUCUUUUUAUAUUUUAUUUUGUUUAAUUUUUGUUUAUUAAUUAUAUUUUUGUAAAUAAAUUCAUAUUCAAUUUAUUCCUUAUCGGAUAAACAAAUUGUAAAGGAAUCCAGAUUCGAUUUGAUUCGUUUAUUAAUUCUACUAAAUGAAUUAAACGAAUCGAAUCGAAUCGAAUAUUUGUUUAAUAAAUGACACUACAACAAAUAUGACUUUUGGUAGCAUUUGAUAGUAGCACUUUUUUCAUAAUGUUACGAAAUGUCAAUCUAUUGUAGCAUUUUUAGAAGAAAGUUACAAUAAGUUGUUCAAAUUGUAACAUUUAAUUUUUUGUAACAUUUUAUCUUUAAUUAGUAGCAUAUUUCAAAAUGCUAUGUAUGCUUAUAAAUAAUAUAGCACUUUAAAAAUGCUACCAAAUGUUGUUAUUUAUAGUAGCACUUAAAUAUAGCUACAAAAUGAGGAGAAAUAAAAAUGAAACACUACGUACCGCCAAAAUGAAAAAAUAAGCGGCAACCAAAUAUUUUGAUCUUCAAAAUAUGCAACAUUGGGAGGGAAAGAAAACAAAGCCCCUUCUUUAUUUCCUUGUCUCCUUACUGAAAUUUUUAGGCAUAAGCAUUCAGAUCUUUAUUUGAAGAACACACAUUGAAAAAUCAUAGCUUAAUAUUCAUCUAGAAUCUCAAUUCUUAAUUCCUUUCUCUUCAAAGUCUCUAUCUUUUUCAUUUCAUUGGCUUAUCUUAUUUUAUGGUUUUUUGAGAGGUUUCAGAUUAUGGAGUUGAAUAACCAUGGAUUCAUAUUUACGUUAAUCACCAUCAAAGGUGUGGGCUCCUUUUUCCAACCAUUAUGAGAUUCUCUAUCACUUUUUUUUUUUCCCUCCAAAAUGUAACUCUUCCAUGUCUCUUGUUCUUGGUUUAUGAUGCAUUUGGAGAUUACCUCAUUACAACCAAAUGAAAACGGCUUGGAGAAGUACUGGAUGAACUACGCCAUCAUCGUCGUCCUCCAUUGUGAUGAUAAGGAGCAUUUGGAGAAGUACUGGAUGCAAAAUGAAGAUAAAAAAAAUAUUUUUUAUUUUUGUUUGGUGUGUAAUCUUUUUGAAAAAUUAUGAAUUACAUGUAUAUGCUUUAGCAUCUUUUUUUUUUUAAAUUUGUAAUCUGAUUAUGAAGUUUAUUUUUUGUUAUUUUGUAUUUAUUUUUUUGUUUAUCAAUGGAAUUGGUUAAAUGUUUUAGUAAUUCAAUUAUAUUAAUUUAUUUGGGUAUUCUUACUAAUAAAAUUAAAAAUUUAUCAAUUCCAAAUAUUGUAGAUUUUAUUUAAUGUUAACAACAUUUGUUACAAAUACUAAAAUAUUACAUAUUCUCAAUGCAGUAGAAGUAGCAUUUCCAAGUGCUGCAAAAGAUUAUAACAGUAACACUUUCGUCAUGAUUUAAAUGUCAUUAAGUAGCAAUUUUUAAAUGUUAUUGAUGUUAAAAUGGUAGCAUUUAUCUAAAGCAAUCACAUAUGAUUGUGUAGCUUUGUUUCAGUGCUAUGUUUUCAAAUUUGUAGCAUCCGAUAAAUGCUACUAACUUGUAAGAUUUUUAGUAACAUGGGCUAACAUAGCAUUGCUUAAAAUGCUACCAUUCGCUUUUUGUAGCAUUUUUUGAGUGCUACCAUAUCUCAAUUUUGUUGUAGUGUGAAUUGAAUCCGAAUCCUAAGAUUUCUAUUUCUUUAAUGAACGAAUCAAAUUCGAAUAAACAAAAUUUUGACCCAAUUCGUUUACAAUUCGAUUUGAAUAUGACUCGUUUAUUCGUUUUGCCAACUCUAACUAGUUUAUUGUGUUUUUGAUUAAAUAUUACAUAAACUACACACUAUCAACGUUAUAUUGUACUUAUAGUUUUUUUAUUAUUUUACUUUAAGUGUACAACGUGUAAGUAAGCUAAUUUUCCCAGAUCUCUAUAUUGGGUUUUGAGUGUAAAAUGAUAAAAUGAUUUGACAUACAAAUACGGUUGGAAAAGUAUCAUAAUAAAUUACUAUUUUAAAGCAUAAUUUUGAGUGGACCUACUUUGUAUAAGUGAGAGGUAAUAAUAUGUUCUUUUAUACUUAAAAUGAUGCUUGGGUGAAUAACAAUGCACAAAUUACACCAUUAAUUGCAUUGAGUAAGAGUUGGAGUUACAAAAAAUUGUAGUAGCUAGUUAAAUUUAAAAUUAAUUACGAAAUUAAUUCCAGAAUAUAUCACUUGUAAUUGCCAAGUAAUUCAGAAUUUAUAAUAGGCAAUUAAAUUUAUAUUUUAAUAUGAGAUUAAAUCUCGAAUUUAAUAUGUGGUUAAUGAAGCCGCAUUUACAUUUUGAAUUUAAUUUAAGAAUAAAAUAAAAGGUUUAACGACAACAAUUAUACUUUUAAUUAGCUACUGUACCUAAUAAGAAAUUAAAUACAUCAGUUACAAAAUUUUAGCAGUCAAAUUUGUGGAUAAAAAUGCCUCUCAUACAAUUAUAUGAAUUGACAUUCUUCUUCACUUCAAGAAAAUGGCUAGGAAUAAUAUAAGAGAAAUAAGGAUAGAAGAAUAAGAAGACAAACUUCAAUACCUCCUUUGUCAAUGUCAUUAUCAUCAAUGUCAUUUAUCCAAUUUCCAUAAAGUUUAGAGACAAUGGAACUUUUUUGUACAAUAACCUCUUCGUGCGCUAGAAUUAUUCAUUACCAUUGUGUCUUGGAAAAUAGGCACUGUUCAAAACCUCAAGCACUUAAUAGCAGGAGGCGAAUUUAUUUUAAUGAAGCUAUAAUAUUAUGCAGGUAGGGAUGACAAAUUACGAGCUUGGGCUAGAUUUUUUUAAGCUCAUGCCUAAGUUCAUGUUAUUAGUAAUAGGUCCACAUUCUCUAAAAGUCCAUCCAACUUGGACAGUCUGAGGCUGGGCCGGACUUGAGCUUCCGUUAAAUUUUUAAAUAAAUUUUUAAUAAAGUCAAAAGUUAAAAACAAAAUAUUUAAAAUAAUAAUUAUCUAAUAUAUAAUAGAUAAAUAGUCAAAUACAUAAAAUAACACAAUAUAAUAAACCACAAAUAAUAUUUAUAAAUUAUAAAUUAUAUUUUUUUAAUUUAUAAAUUAUAAAACUCGAGCAUUUUCCAUAAACCAUUAAUUAAGUUCAUUCACAUCUGACUUUAAAUUUUUUUACCCAUGUCUAUGGUAUCACAAAGCAAGCAGGGCCUAAAGCCCAUGACCUUAAGCUGGGCCGACCCUAACUUUUUUACCCCACCCUACAUCGAGGUCUUGAUUUGCAUUCUAUUUUUAUAUCAUAUUUUAUUUGUUAUCUUAUUAUUGUAAUCACUAUUUUAAUUGCUAUAUCAUUGUUGUAACUGUAAUCAUUGUUAUUUGUAAAGUCUCAAUUUAUGAUUUGUAAUUUCAGAAUGCAUUCCUCCUAUUCCAUUGUAUUUCCCUUAUGAAUACUUGGACAAAGAUAGAAGCUAUUGGACCAAAAAAUUAACACCAAAUCCGAAUUUUGUUACUAAGAUAUAAAAAUUCUCAGUUUCCUAUAGUUACAAAACCACCAUAUAUAAGUAAGAAUUUCAAGUCCCUAAAUGUCAAAAUUUGGUAAAAAUGCGAGGAUCAUCAUUACCAAGUACGCUGUGAUUUUAUUUUCAUUAGUUUGCCGAAAGCUUUGAAACAAUUUUUCUUUUUGCCAAAAUAUGAAUCCGACGGCAUGAAACAAAGCACCCUUAUCAUAUUUUCUCAGAAGAGAAUCUUGGCUUGUUUGUUCGAUACAUCAUCUUCUUCCUUAAUUGAUAUUAGACUGAAUAGACUCUCUUCAAAUUUAUGAACUGACAAGUGAAAACUUCUUAGUCCAAUUCUCCAAGAUCUCUCAUUUUUCCCGGGGAUUAGGAUUGUAUAAGAGCAGUCGUGGAAUUGAAGAGUCGGGUUCUGAAAAAAUCCAAUUGGCAAAUAUUUGAUAUUAACGAAUAAAAGUUCGCCCCAAAUCCUCUCUUUCAUCACCUAUAUUUCAACAUUAUCAUUAAUGGUAUUAAAAAAUAAUAAAGAUAGAUUGUCAUCGUAUAUGUCAAGUGACACAGAAAGUAAAAAUAGGAGGAUAUUGAUAAAACAACAAUAUAAAAUAAACAAUGUUGAAUAAUUUAAAUGACAUUUGGAACAAAAAUCAUAAAUUUUUUUUUCAAGCUUCGGGCUUUGCGGUUUUGACUUGGUAUGGGCUUAAGUUCACCCAAAUUGCUAAUCUAAGGAUGCAAUUCCUUAUGAGCUGAUCAUUUACAUCCUUCCGAGAACUGUGAGAUAUUACAUAUCCUAAUUUCGUACAAAAAACAUUGGAUUAUGUGUUUCUAUUUAUAAGUGUGCAGGUUUUGUGUUUUCUGUGAUUUCUUGAAUUAAGACUGCAAUAAAAGAUUUUCCCAAUUUUACUUCUCAAUAUGUUCAUUAAUUGGAUCAAAUGAAAUCAUGCAUGAACUCUUAUGAUAACAUUUUUUGACCUACAUUUCUCAUUAUUGGUUUUGGCAGUCUCUUCUUUUAGCGAACACUGGCAACACAAAAAGAAAAUUAAAAAAGGGGGAAACUGUUAAAUUUGUAAUGGCCUAUUUGGUUAAUUUUAUGUAUUUACGUAACUUAUAUUAUAGUAGUUUCUAAAUUAACAAGCCUGUCUGGUUAUAUUCAAGAAAAUUGAUGUACUUAGAUAAUUAAUACUAUAUGUAAAGUUACUAAUAUAACCUUUUCCUGUGCGGCUCUGGUACGCGUUUCCUUUUCUUACUACAGUUUUAAUUUCAUUUAGGAAACUAGUUUCCUAUUCAAUUAGGGUAACCGUUAUUACAUAAAAAUCUAAUGGGAAUAGGAAACUAUUUCCUAAUUCAGUACGGCAAGUUAUUGUCACAUUAUAAAUACCCGUGCAGAAAAAAAAUUUGGUUCCAUAUAUCGCACUGAAAAAAAAAUGGAGCAAUACGAAAAGAUCAGAAACUUAUGAUAUUUUUAAGGAAGAUGAAUAAUCAUCCCAACAUUGUCAAGUUGAGGAAUCUUGUCAAAGAACACGAAGACGUAUUCAUUGUGUUCGAGUACAUGGAAUCUGAUCUUCUAAAACUUAUGAAAGAAAGUGCGGGUCAAAAUUUCUCUGAAGAUGAAGUCAGAAACUUGUGUUUCCAAGUGUUUCAAGGUCUCCAUUACAUGCACCGACAGGGUUAUUUUCACCGUGACCUAAAGCCUUCCAACUUGCUUGUUUCGAAAGGUGUGAUCAAGAUAGGGGAUCUUGGAAUGGUGAAGGAAAUUGAUUCCAGUCUGCCGUGCACUGAUUAUGUUACAACUCGCUGGUAUCGAGCUCCUGAAGUGUUGCUUUUAUCCGAGAUAUGUGGACCUGAAGUUGAUAGGUGGGCGAUGGGUGCUAUUAUGUUCUCGAUGUUGAGUUUCAGGAGUCUUUUUCCGGGAAAAAAUUCAGCUGAUCAAAUUUACAAAAUCUGCGGCAGAUGGGUGGCGUGAAUCUACGUGAGUUGUUACCAUCAGCUAGUCGAGAAUCCAUCAGCUUGAUUUCAUGGCUUUGUUCCUGGAAUCCACGCAUGAGGCCUACGGCUGCGGAAGCUUUGGAACAUCCUUUCUUCCGGAGCUGCCAUUUUGUUCCUCGAUCGGUGCCUCUUCUUUGCAAUAAUUUUGAAGCUGUUGCGUUUCCUACUGCCACAGUCACAAUGCAAGGACGUUCUUUGACAUAUUCUCAGGUACCGAAUGAUGGGCAAUUAUGUUUGUGCGUCAAAUGUGAGAUGCAAAGGACUAACCAUGAUCACAUGAUCAUCAACUCUGCCAAACCGGCAACCUCCGUGAUUUGUAAAACUGGUUACGCGACUAGAACUGAGAUGUUGGCUUCUCGCAUGCAAUCGUUGCAGCAGCUGAUGAUGUCGAGGCCUCCCGGAUUUUGAAGAAAACGUUAAGGCUGGUUAUUGUAUUUGUACUUAGAAACCUAACUACGUACGUACUGAUUGUACUGUCGAAGAUUAUUCAAUGCAUUGAUAUUCAUCUCCUCAGCUUCCCUAGUGUCUUUUAUGUUGAAUUCAAUGAGUGUAAGUCCAUGACCAUUUUUUUUUUUUAAGUUAUGGUCAAAUGUGAGAUGCAAAGGACUAAUAAUGAUGAUCAUAUGAUCAUCAACUCUUCCAAUCCAGCAACCUCCAUGAUGCAUAAAACUGUUUAUACAGCUACAACUAAGAUGUUGGCUUCUCGGAUGCAGCCAUUGCAGCAGCUGAUGUCGAGGCCUCCUGGAUUUUGAAGAAAAUGUGAUGGCCGAUUACUGUAUUUGUUAUAAAAAAACCUAGCUACGUACGUAGUAUCUCUGUUGUGGAUAUUUUAAUAGCUUCAUUCAUUCAAGUAAGCAAAAAUUAUUCAAUACUGUCAUUUUUUCGAAUAAUUUGAUACCACUGACCCUAGAAAGGACAUUAACGGGUAUUCAAUGCACUGUCAUCUUCUCAAAUUAGCUAUUGUACCUAUACAUUGAUUUCACCGAGUGUAAGUCCAUUUUUUUUUUUAAAUUGAAAAAAUAUUAUUUAGAAGAUAAAAGAGUGCAUGAGAGUGAUAAAAGUUACGACAAAUGAAAAUUAGGAACACCAAAAUUCUAGAAGAAGAGGCUUCUGAAUUGAAUGGGGAGGUAGAUUCCAUAGUGGAAAAAUGAUAACUAAGACUAUCGUUAGUUAAAGUAUCCACCACUUUGUUACCUUCACGAUAAAUAUGUGAUAAAUUAUUAUAUUAAGCGAAGCAAGUAAAGGCAAUUAAACCAACUAGUGUGGAGUUUCCAUGGAAGAGAGUAGCCAAAAUUCUGAAGACAUUGAGUCAUAGACAUGGCGUCACAUUCAAUCCGAAGUUUAUGCCAACCCCUUAACCAUGCUUGUCCAAUAGCAAGAAUAACUACCAUAAAUUCAGCAUAAAAAGAGGAUUCAUGACCAAUGAACGUAAAACUGCCAAGGAAGGUUCCAUGAUGAUCUCUAGAAAUUCCCUCACAAGCAGAUAACCGGGGAAUAUUAUUCUUACUGUUGACCUUUAUCAAAGUUGGAGGGGACGCCAUAUCACUGUAGCUAUUUUCGAAGCUUUUCCAAAGCUUGGAUCAUUACCCAACCGGGCAAAAAUUGCCAAAUCAUGAAAGUGUGCAAGAGUACUCCCUAGGCAAGAUUGACAAAGAGUAAAUAUUAAAUUUUUACAGUAAGCUAUGGCAUUAUGAAAAGGGAGAGUUACAUCUUGAAAUCAAAUAUAUUCAUUUUUCGUUUUUAAAUUAUAGCUUAAUGGCAACCCAGAUAGCUCCACGUGAGUGGAUUCAAACCCCAAAUCUAUUAUUUCAAAUCAAAAGAUUAAAGUUCACCAAUUGAUCAACUAUAUAUCUGGCGUCUAACUAUGACCAACCUCAAUUAACGGACGUCCGUCAACUAGAUUAAUUCUCAAAAACCUGCUACUUUCUAGUCUGUGGAAGAAACAAAGUUCUCAAAGAAGAUAACUUCACAAUACAUACAACUCCUUGCUAACUCAAAUUUAAGCCAACGCCAUGUUUGAUGAAAAUUUAUGGUUGCGGGUUGUGAUUCCAUUUAUGCCAUAAGAAAAUCAAAAGGGUAUGUUUCGAAUUAUGAUUGCAAAAUUCCAAUCAAAAGGGAAAAGUUUUGGCAUGGACCAAAAGUUUUUUUCCAUUCAUUUCUUAUCACAUUUAUAUUUCAACUAACUAUAAUAAUAUAUAUACACUUAAUAAAUAAUAAAUAAAUAAAAUGUAAUAUUUAAAUAUAUUUUGGAUAGACCACUCGGUCUUUGGCCGAGUGAUGGAUUACUUACUCUCACAUUUGUAAACAUUUGUGAGAGCACCAGUUUGAGAUCUUAAGGGCUCUCCCUUAAUUAAGUAUGAUUGAUUGGAGUCAAUUGUAACUUUCUCCUUUGUAAAUUUUAAGUGAAGUGGACAACCCUCGAAUAAUUGUGAAGGUAGACAAUUUGGUGGAGCGGACAACCCUCAGAUAUAUGUGAAGAUAGACAAUCUGAACAAGUAUUUUAUAAAAUUUAAUGUACGUAAAGUUAUAGUUUCACUAUGUAAUUAUAAUAUCUGAUUGUAUUAUUAGUAUUUAAAAAAAAAAACUCUUCUGGAUAGAUAUUAAACCUUUCAAAACCUUUACGUACCAAAUAAAGAGUAAACUAAUUUGAGCUCUUGUCCGGUAGCUCCAAAUAUUUUUCAUGCUUGAAACAAUGUUGAGUUGGAAUAUGUUUUUGAUUACCGAAGCUUAAUCACUUUGAACAUUACAGCUGAAGAGCAUAGAGGAUUUGUCAUAAUUGAAUAAUUUUCCAGAGGUUGUAGUGUAGCAAUUAAAAAUUCUUUUCAAAUUUUGACAAUCUGUAGCUGAUGCCCUAGUGAAUACAAGACUGUCAUCCACAAAAAGAAGGUGGGAGAUUUUAAUGUCAUUGCCAAAUGACAGCCCAUGAAUGAGCUUCUAUUGUUCAGCCCACACCAGCAAAGAAGAAAAAGCCUCUGCACAUAUGAUAAAAAGGUAUGGAGAUAUCAUACAUAUUUUCCUUAGCCCACGCUGAGGUUUGAUUAGUCCGCUAAUCAUACCAUUUAUAAUUACAGAAAAGAAGCAGAGCUUAUACACCUCAUGACCAAUCGUACAUAAUUUUGAAAAAAGCCUAGCUCCAACAUGGUUUGCUCAAGAAAAUUCCAUUCUAAUCUAUCGUAGGCUUUACUAAUAUUGAGCUUCAUAGACACAAGGUCAUUUCUUUUCCCCUUACCAUGUCUUAUUUUAUAGGAGCAUUUGUGACCUACAGUGAUAUUGACAAUUAUCAGCCUAUUAUGAAAGCACUUUGCAUUAGGGAUAUGGCUUUGGACAGGGUUUGUUUAAGCCUAUUUGCUAUUGUCUUAGCAACAAUUUUAUAGAUAACGUUACAAAGACUAAUAGGCCUAAAAUCACUGACUUUUAUAGGUUUUCCAAUCUUAGGAAUUAGAGCAAUAUAUGCAUGAUUGAGAGGGCCUAUAGUACCUUGCUUGUUGAGGAUGUGGAGGCAAGUAGUGAUAACUCCGGAUUUAAUCGUUUGCCAAUGUUUUUGGUAAAAGACUGCUAGCAAUCCAUCAGGCCCUGGAGUCUUCGUUGGACACAUCUGUGAUAAGGCUUCAACAAUUUGCUCUGUUGAGAAAGGCUUGUCCAAUUGCUCGUUCAUGUCAUUUGAGAGCCUCAGUGUUAUCCCUGAAAGAGCUGUUGCUAUUUGGUUCUAGCUCGGUCUGGAUGUGGUGAAGAAAUUUGUGAAAUAAGUGCAAAACUCAUGCUCUACUUCUUCAACAUUCUCAAUCCAUCUUCCUGUUUCAUCUUCAAUUCUCCAUAUUUCCAGGUCCUCUUGCGUUUCCCUCUAUCUCAUGCUUCUUUUUGCCGCUUGUUUGCUGUGUCAUUGUUAUUUCCAACACGCCAUUCAUUAAACGCUUUUCACCUACUCGUUCCACCUCAUCACCUAUAGCUAAUUCAUUAGUUUGACCCAUCUCUUCCUGAUUUGGUUUUGUCAACUAGGUUACUUUGACUCUGUUGAGGUUGUUGCGAGCAGCCGUAGUGUUCUGAGUUUGCCGAAUUACUCACUAAUUUGCCACUAUCCCUAUUCUAUCUCUCCUUGAUAUGGUGCUUCUUUGAGCGUCCUCCCACUAUAACUGCCUUCAUCCACACCCCAUAUGGACGUUCCUCUUUUCGUUGACCCUAAUACUUAGCACACUCCUUGAACUAGUGGCUAAUAACUCCACAAAUGAAAUAAAAGUCAGGCAAUCGUUCAUAAUCUAUAGACAUUAGAAUAUCUGCAUCACCCUCUUGUAAGAUCUUUUCUAAUGGCUGAGUCAUUUUGAUCGAAAUUCUAACUCUUAUAAAUUCCCCAAUAUAUUUACCAUAUUCGUCUGUUUCAACCUCCUUUACUAUUCUAAUCUUCCCUCCCAAUUCUUGGAGAAAAUAUCUUUCCAAACAGGCAACUGGGACAUUUCGAAUCUGCACCCAGAAUGUUGUAUGAGUGAAAGACUGUUUUAUGAUCUCCCCAAUUCCUUUUGGUUAUGUAAGGACAAUUAAGGCCCUAUCAAAGUGCCAAGGGCCUCCUGUCAUCACCCUUCUUUUAUCAGCUUCAUCUGCAAACUUGAACAUAAAGAUAUGAACACCCAAGCUCUCUAUCUUAACUUCUUUAAUUGUCCUCCAAACUUGCUGUAAUGCCAUCUUCAACCCCUCCUUAUGAACUCCUCUUGUAAGAAGUAUCUUGCCCAUCAAAUAGCCAGCCAAAACCUUCUCUUUUUUUUUUCCUUUCAUUCUCACUUCCAAAGUUACUAUAUUUUUCUUCUUUCUCUUUGAUAGUUAUCGCUUUACAUUUACGAAUUAAUUCCUCUGUAUCCAUAGCAUUUAAGACCUUUCAGAAAUAAUUGUUGCAUUCACUGUUCUAAAAGUAACCUUGUGUUUAAAUCCCUUACCUGUAACACCCUAGGCAAAUCCCACAUCGGCAAAGCACAGGAUAGAUAUUGGGUUUAUAAAGGGUGAUCUACACCUUAAUUGGCAAGAUGCGUUUUGGGGUGUAUAGGCGCCGUAGAAACAAACUUGUGCAAAUCUUCUUAAGGCCCAACGCGAACAAUAUCUUGUCAGGUCUGGGUUGGGUCAUGACAUUAUGGUAUCAGAACGGCUCUGCGUAUCAUCUUGAGCGAUGUUGGGGCAAACCUCAGCGAGGACGCUGAGUCCCCAAGGGGUGUGUGUGUAACAUCCUAGGCAAAUCCCACAUCGGCAAAGCAUGGGAGAGAUGCUGGGAUUAUAAAGGGUGAUCUACACCUUAACUGGCAAGACGCAUUUUGGGGUGUAUGGGCGCCCCAGAAACAAAACCGUGCAAGCCUUAUUAAGACCCAAAGUGGAUAAUUUCUUGUAAGGUCUGGGCUGGGUCAUGACAUUAUGGUAUCCGAGUGGCUCUGCGUGUCCUCUUAAGCGAUAGUGGGGCAAAACUCAGCGAGGACGCUGAGUCCCCAAGGGGGUGUAUGUAACAUCCUAGGAAAAUCCUACAUCGGUAAAGUACAGGAGAGAUGCUGGGUUUAUAAAGGUUAUCCACACCUUAAUUGGUAAGACGCAUUUUAGGGUGUAUGAGCGCCCCUGAAACAAACUCGUGCGGGCCUUGUUAAGGUUCAAAACGGACAAUAUCUUGUUAGGUCUGGGUUGGGUCAUGACAUUAUGGUAUCAUAGCGGCUCCAUGUGUCCUCUUGAGCGAUGGUGGGGCAAACCUCAGUGAGGACGUUGAGUCCUCAAGAGGGGGUGUAUGUAACACCCUAGGUAAAUCCCACAUCGGCAAAGCACAUGAAAGAUGUUGGGUUUAUAAGGGGUGAUCUACACCUUAAUUGGCAAGACACGUUUUGGGCCUUGUAUAGGCGCCCCAGAAACAAACAAGCACAUCUAUUUUUUUCAAAAUUAAUAGUUGAGUCUUAAAUGUGAACUUAUUUGGUGGCUGCAAAUUAUGAACCCAUUUUUGAUUUCGGUGAAAACGAAAAUGUAAAAUGCAAAACAGAAAACGUAAAAUGAUAUGAUGCAAUAAUUACAUAAUUAAUGUUUUCCCUAAGAUAUAGUAAAAGCAUAUGUUUCACCAAAAAAAUUUGAAGCCUUACAGGUCCUCCCAGCCGUUUUAUUUAUUUAUUUAUUUUUAGUAUUUACAGAAAUGAAACUAAAACUCUCCUCACCCACAUGAGUGGUUGAAUCUAAGCCACUUAAAGUUAAUAAUUCAUGAAAUGGUGCCUUUGUUUUGUGGCGGUCGCGGGGCCUUUGCCUCUGAUUAAUAUUAUUCUUUUAGCGUGUGGAUUCCACAAAUCGAAACCCUUCGGAAUUUUAUUUAUUAUUUACUGAAAUAUCAUUUUCCCUAUGGCUUCUACAUAUUAUGCCUAUAGCUAGUGAUUGUUACGUAAUUCAUAUAAAAAAUCAAUUUUAGAAUUGUAACUAUUUUAAUUAACAGAUGCAAGGUAAAUUCCUUAACAGAAAAAUUCAUCUAUGUUCUCUUAGAUUAUAAAAGAUGAAAGUAGCGUAAUUAAGUUUAAGAGAAAACUGAUUUUAUUAAAUUUCAAGGACGAAACGAAAAAAACAAUAAGAGAGAUAAAAAGAAUUUCUAAGAGAACGAAAGUAUCAUUCGACAAGUAAAUUUAAAUUCAUAAUUUUUUCUGCCCGAUCUAAUGUUAAUUCUUAGCGGCAAGCCUACGGCACAAGCCACAUAUAUGGAAUUAUGCAUAAUUUUUAUUGGUUAAAACGUGACAUUGAUGAUGUUGAAAGAACAAAUAAUAAACAAUAAUACAAUAAAACCUCCAAAUAGAAAUACUUUAUAUAUGAAUAAUUUCUUUAUAGUAAUAAAAAUUUUGAUCCCAAGUUGGGACCAGUUAUAAUUAAAAAUAAAUUUCACAUUGUAAUAAGUUAUAUUUUUUAUAGGUCCCGACUUAAUAAACUUACUUUCACAUAGUAAUAAUAUAUCAAAAAUAUAUAUCAUGUUACAUUAAAUAAUUAUUAAUUUAUUAAUACAUGACAUAAUUUACCCCUAUAUCACUUGCAUUAGAGAUAAUUAAGUAAAGACAAUAAUUUUUAUACUAUACUUCUAUUGAGUUAUAACCUCUUUAUUAAAAUAAAUUUCUCCAGUCUCAACAAUAUGAUUAUACAGAUAAUUUACUGUAUCAGGCUUUUUGAUGCGUAUAGAAAGCAGGACGAGAACACAAAAACACAAGUUUAAUUAAUUUAUUUGAAAAUACAUAACAUGUUUCAGACAAGAAAAUUAGAUUAAACUCAAGUUUGAUAGUUAAUUUAUUUGAAAACACAUAACAUGUUUCAGGCAAAGCGAUAAGAUUAAAUUCGAGUUUGUUAAGCACAAAAACUCUCUCGCAUAUGCCGCAAGCUAGCUUAUUAGAAAGAGCUGACCAAAUCACCCUCCGAUGAUGAUGAUCUUGUUGCAAUAUUACUGUUUCCAUUGACCCUCCUGCAGUUCAAUCUAAUCUCCCCUUGAUUUCCUGUCAGUGGUUUCAAAUUGCCCAUUCUUAUCAUUGAGGUCACAAAGUUUUUAAAGAAAGCAGUCUGGUUCCUCCCAAAGUCCUCGACAAUGGCAGCGGUAUCGGCACCAGGAGUCGAAAACAACUCUUGAUCACUCUGCAGAAGGCCUUUGCGGAGUCUAAGAUUGGAGAAGUAUUUGUUGUCGAAAGCAUCAGGUGUUUUGACAUCAAAAUUAGCAAGAACGGCGCCGUUUCCACCUUGUGGGCAUAGUUCCCUCAGUUGCUUUAAGAGGGUUCUGUCCAGUGUUGGGUCUGGCUUGCCAGUUUUGUUGAAAUCGUAUAAUCUGUCCCUGAAAAAUUUGCACUGAGCCCUUCCAAACGUGUGAGCUCCUGAAAAACAUGCAUGACCAAACCUUUGUUAUUUUUGCUGAAUUCACAUACGAGGAACAAUAAUGAUAAUUUUAUUGUUAGGGAUAUUAUUUAAAUUUUGAGUUAAGUAAAUAUAAAUUUAAGGCACCAACACUCAUUUCUUAAAUUAAUUUUUGAGUAUGAGUUACUACUAGUAGCAGGCAGUUUUGACUCCUAAAAGUUUACUCUCGUAACUUUACUCAAGUAACUAAAAGGAUGUAGAAGCAAUUAAUAAUUACCGGAGAGUGCAACAAGAUCAAACUUGUCAUUGAGGCCAACAUUUCUAAAACUAGAUUUGAGCUCAUCAAGAGUAUUAGAUGGUCCUGGAAGAUUCUGAUUUGCAAGAGCUCUGUUUGCCGUUCUGCUGUCUCUUCUUCCCAAUGGAACUGCCCAUGACGGACCCCCUGACUGUAACCAAAAGCCAUUCACUCAAAAUCAGCAAUAAUCUUAAGAGAUGUGUGUUUGGGGCGGACUAUUUAAUUUGCUAACCGUUGAAUCAAACUUUGUCGUAUAACAAAAGAAGAAAACUUUUAAUUUUAAAACUAAGGCCUUGCUACGAUACACCAGCGCAGUAAAAAGUGUCUCACUGUCGGUAACAAUUUAUCCGUUGAUAAUCACUAUAUUGACAUACUUGCAGCAAUUUUGGUACCAUACAGUGUAGCUGAUGCACCAUAGUCAAUAAGUCACCCCUUUUAAAUAAUGGAGUCCACCACGUCGUCCGAAUCUAAAAAUGAUGGGUCCAACGAUGGAUCCCUUCACUUAAAUCAAUUUCCACAUGGUGAUGAUGGGGCAAUUUUGUCGUUGAAUAGCAGAUGCAAUAACUAGCAAAGGCUAAACAUGUGGACUCAGAUCUUGCACAUUGUUCUAUGUGAAUAAUUAUUUAAUUAAUAUAUUCUUCUAAGGAUAAAGUUGAACUUACGGGAUAUUUAAUUAACCGAAAAAAAUAAUAUAAAAACACGUUAAAUUUAUAUGGGUUAUUAUUAAUUAAAAAAAUAGUUAAAAACUACAUUAAUACUGCAAAGAUUUACCAUUAUUCUGUUCGCUUAUUCUGAUACCCAUAUUAAUUUACUUCUAAGCGUAAAAUAUUUACUGGGAAGAGGAGUUGGUAAUAGAAAUUCAUUACCAAAGCAACGGAUCGUUCAGCCGCAAUAGUAAGGAUAUCAGCGCAGGAAACAACCCUUCGACAUGCCUUUUCAACGGCAGCUUUCAUGUUAUCAAUAACUUCAAAACCCCUCGCCGAAUUAUUAUUUGGCGCAGCAAAUUUCUCGCUGUCUAUGGUGUUAGUGCUGUCCAGCAAAAUCGAUGCAUCACACCCCUGGAAAAAUAAUAUUAAUUAACAACUUGCUAUGUUAACAGUCCAUUGUAUUGUUACUUUUUCAAGUAGAUAGAUUCCUUCUUAUCUUAUGGACAGGAAUUCAAAAAAAUUAUAUAAAUAAUGCAAACUCUUCUUUAAAUUGUCUUAUUAUUACAUAUGUUUUUAAGACUAGGAUUUCCUGUUGAUUUAAAUUUCUCAGUUGGAAGAAUAUAAAACAAGUGUGAUUUUUUUUCAACCAUACACCAUUAAUAUUGGACCCAUGAUCAUUAAAAGCACUCAGCAGGGAUGAGGCCAUGAGGUGGAUUUUAUUUCCUGUUUUGUACCAAAUCUUUGCUAGAUUUAAAUUUCUAGUACAUGAAAACCCCAUAUUAAAAUUUAUUUAUAAACAUAGAAUUACAUGGUCCUCGGUACAUCGAAUUAGAGAGGAAAAAAUUUUUGUAAAGAGAAAAAAAAAAGAUAAAUAAAAAUGGUUUUGGAAGUUGUUGAAAUUAAAAUGAUAUAUUCAAACUCUCAAUGAAAACUCUAUAUUUUGUUUAAUGCCAUAAAAAUUAUAAAGAUACUGUUCAUUGAUAUACUUGAAACUAUGUUAUAUCAAUAAGUACAUAGACAGAGAGCUUGAUAAAGUAAAGAAGAUGAAAAAUGAGAGAGCAGAGAUUGCUUACAUCAACAAAACAGUCAUGGAAAUGAAGCCUGAUGAGGCUGGCACCGAUCCGGAUAUCGGACGAGAAAGCUUUCUUAAGCACAUCCUCGAUAAUGUUCAAUACAUUAGGGCAUGUGGAAGAAUAAAAAGAUGGAGAAAGUUGAGCUUGAGAUGGUGAUCCCUCAAGCACAAAAGCAACAACAAGAGCUGCUGCAAGAAGAUAACGAAGUGAAGCCAUUUUGGCUAAGAGUUACUACUUCUCUAUGAAGAGAAUGAUUAGUCUUAGGACUUGGAAAACAAAGAGAAAUGCCUCUUUAUUUAUAACCAAACAAACCAGAUUAGGAUUAGAACUUUGCAGCAACCUUGAAGUUCCUCGUUUCACUGUUUGAAUAGGUUAGUUACGUUAUUAAUUCGGUAAUUCCCUUAAUUAGGUUUAUGUGAUUUUUUUUUAAACUAAUGUGGCCCACGUGAGCAUCUAAGUAAACUAUAUGGAUACAGAUGUCUUUUUUUCUUUAUUAUUAAAAUAAAAUUACUAGUUAAUUUUCUUUUUUAAAUUUCAUUCAAUUUUUCUUUCGUGUUUAAAAGCUUAAGUCUUCAAUUAGAUUCUUCGAUUUUAAAUUUUUUUUUUCAAGUACAAUAUACUAAUUACGGUGCAUUUGAAAUUACAUGUCUUAUUUUCAUAAUGAUCUUGAAAUUUAGAAAUAACCUUCGUUUUUGUGGAGAGAACAUAAGAAAGAGGAAUAUUUGUUUGUAAAAUUUUAUUAAAAAAAAAAGUAUAAAUGAACGUAUUACAAAUGCAUGUAUAUCAAACUUAUUUGAGAAUAAAAGCUUAUUAAAAUGAAAUCCAAAAUUUUGAGUAAUUAUUCAUGAAAUGAGGGACUAAGUUGAUAAUUCUUGAAAUGGUGUUAGGUAGGGGCGGCGACGCCUCGAGCCGCCUUUGUUUAAUGCCAGCCUACCUGUUUCUUUUAUCGUAUGUGUGAAUGUGGAGCAGCGUGUGGAUUCCACAUAUUCGAAAUCCUUCAUUUCAACCUUUUGAAAUUCAUAUAAAAAACAAAACCUUUUGAAAUUUUUUAUUUGUCUACCGAAAGAUCAAAUAUCAUUUUGUCAGCUUAUACAUAGUUAGAUGCGAGAUUGAGCUACUCAAACUUUUUAAGUUAUAAUUAUUAUAGAAAAAAUAAAUUAUAAAAUAAAAAUUAAUAAUAAUUAUAUAUAUAUAAUAUUUAAUAAUAAUUUUGAUAAAUAAUAAAAAUAUUAUAAAUUUUUAUCAUAUAAGUGUGGGUUCAAUCAUCUUAAUUUUUAAACUCUAAUAAUAAAUGUUUGUUAAAUAUUUUAAUAUUUAUCCUAAAAGGUAUAAUUGUUUGCCUUCGACUUCAAAUGGGGUUAGAUUAAAACCCCAAGUGGGUGCUAAAUAAUUAAGUGGUGGCAGGAUUAUAUUUGAAAUGGGUAUAAGAGUAAUUUAGAUUUCUAAUUCAAGAAGGGACCGAGAGCAAAUGAAAAAGAUAGAACACGCUUAAGUUCUAGAAGGAAAAAUGAUUUUAUUAAUGAUCAUGAAAAAGAUAACCAUUGUUACUACUUUUAGUUUGGGAAAAAAAGAUCAAAAUAUUUGCCGUGGUUUAGUGAUUAGACACGAAGAUUCCAUUACUUUUAGAAACUAUAUAGGCUCUUUUUUGUGCACAGAGACCGCACAAAUUUUUUGAAAUUUGUCCAAAAACUAAGUUUUCUUAUCCUAAAAAGAGUUUGUGUAACCAUUUUUAAAAAUUACAAAAAAUUCUUCCCCACUAUUUUGUCAAACUACAAAUGUUAGACAAAAAGGAAAAAAGCAAUAUGUAAAAAGAAAGUGUUUUUCCGGUUAAUGUUUUAAAGCUAGAGGAUAAAAUGCAAAUGAAAAUACAUAUCGAUGACUUCGGGAGAAAAAAAAGAAAAGAAAAAAGAAACACAUACAAUAUGACAAGGAUUUCUGAUACAUAGAAAGCAGGGCGUGAAUACACAACCACAACUUUAGUUUAUUGAAAAUACAAAGCAUGUUUCAGGCAAAACAUAGGAGUAAAUUCAUGAGUUUGUUACCCACAAACUCUUUCUCUCGCGUUAGCUGCAAACUAGCUUAUUCAGAAAGAGCUGACCAAAUCACCCUCCGAUGAUGAUGAUCUUGUUGCGAUAUUGCUGUUUCCGUUGACCCUCCUGCAGUUCAAUCUAAUCUCCCCUUGAUUUCCUGUCAGUGGUUUCAAAUUGCCCAUUCUUAUCAUUGAAGUCACAAAGUUUUCAAAGAAAGCAGUCUGGUUCCUGCCAAAGUUAUUGACAAUGGCAGCGGUAUCGGCACCGGGAGUCGAAAACAACUCUUGAUCACUCUGCAGAAGGCCCUUGUGUAUUUGAAGAUUGAAGAAGUAUUUGUUGUCAAACAAAUCAGGUGUUGUGACAUCAAGAUUAGUUAGAACGCUGGCGUUUCCACCUUGUGGGCAUAGUUGCCUAAGUUGUUGUAAGAGGGUUGUGUUAAGUGUUGGGUCUGGAUUGCCAGUGCUGUUGAAAUUGAAUAACCUAUCGCUAAAAGCUCGGCACUGAGCCCUUCCAAAUGUGUGAGCUCCUGAAAAACAUGCAUAGCCAAUCUUUGUUAUUUUUACUCAAAUUCAUACAAAUUAAGGAUAAUAAUUGAGUUUCAUUAUGGUGGUUCUCACUUUCUUUUUGGGAAGCAAUUCAAAUUUCAUGAUGUAAUUAAGGGGAGUAAAUUUGUCAAACGUUUUAACAUAUUCCUAAUCACCAAUGUCAAACUUUAAAACACAGUUUCUUCGCAUCAUUAGGAUAUUCAGUCAAGCCUCCUAGGUGCUGUAGAGUAUGAAUGUGCUUUGUGUCGGUGGUCGUCUUAGUACGAGUAAUAAUGAGAAAAAAAUUGAUAUUUAGUGGAUGAGACAUCCUUAUCAAAAUUUAUUUUUUUCUUUUUAAAUAAGAUAUUCAACAUUUAAACUAUCUCUAAGAUUUCAAGACUCAGUAUUGGCAUUAAAAAAUUUUCCACCUCCAGAUUUCUAAUUCUGGCUCCAAUACUGCUUUAUCCCAAAAGACUCCAAGGUCUGUUUGUACUCAAGUCAAAGGGUGUAUAAGCAAAUAUUACCGGAGAGUGCAACAAGAUCAAAAUUAUCGUUGAGGCCAACAUUUCUGAAUCUAUCUUUGAGCCUCUCAAGACUAUUGUUCGGUCCUGGAAGAUUUUCAUUUGCAAGAGUCCUGUUUGCUGUUCUGCUGUCUCUCCUUCCCAAUAGAUUUGUCCAUGAAGGACCCCCUGACUGUUACCAAAACCACGAUCAUUAGUCAAAAGAAUCACUUGAGAGAUGCAUAAUAAGCAAAUUUACCUAAAAUCAGAAAUAGACAUGCAAUUACUCUUUCCCACUUUAUUUGGCUAAUAUUUAUAUGGGUCUUGUUGCACCCAAAAUUAGCAGUUUCCCGACGUUACAAUUUUGAGUGAACGGUUCAACCAGACUGUAUCAUUUAAAGAAGAUAAUUUCUUUUUUAUUUAUAUAUAUUUUUUUCAACAUAUAUACUGGAACCCAACACGUAAAACUGAUGUGUCCUAGAUGUCUCAUCACUUUUUUUUUUGGUUUUGGUGGGGGGGGAAGGAAAAGCCUUCCCUUUCCACACGGUAAAGUCAACAUGGUAAUUUCGGUAGACUGUUGCCGCCUAAAACUAAGCAUGUGGAUUCGUUUAGUUAAUGUACUCAGGGUCUGAAAAUUUCGACACGAAUGUACAGUCAAACUUACUCUCUGAUACCAUGGUAAUUUAAUUACUUUUAAGCUUAAAAUAUGUAUUAGGGCAAGAUGAGGAGUUGUUAAUAGAAAUUCAUAUAUACCAGAGCAACAGAUUGUUCAGCUGCAAUAGUAAGAAUAUCAGCGCAGGAAACAACGCCUGGACAGGCCCUUUCAACGGCAGCUUUCAUGUCAUCAACAACUUCAAAACCCCUCGCCGAAUUAUUAUUUGGCCCAGCAAAUUUCUCGCUUACUAUGGUAGUAGUAUUGUCCAGCAAAAUCGAUGCAUCACAGCCCUGAAAUAACAUCAAAAGCUUGUUAUGAUCAACUGCUCUUGUAUCGUUAAUUUAAUAAUUAGGUAGAUUCUUCUUAUCUUACGAUAUGUUAUAUCGAUAUAGUAAAUAGAGAAAAAAUCAAAGAGUAGAGAUUGAUUACAUUAACAAAACAGUCAUGGAAAUGAAGCCUGAUGAGGCUGGCACCGAUGCGAAUAUCGGACAAGAAAGCAUUCUGAAGCACCUCCCGAAUUAUGUUGGUUACAUUAGGGCAUGUGGAAGAAUAAAAAGAGGGAGAAAGUUGAGCUUGAGCUGGUGAUGAUCCCUCAAGCGCAAAUGCAACUACAAGAGCAGCUGCAAGGAGAAAACGAAGAGAAGCCAUUUUGCAAUGAUGAGAAUGAGAGUUAUUUCUAAGCCUUCUAUAUAUGCGCCUCUUUAUUUAUAGCCAACCAAGCUAAACAGGAGUAGACUUGGGAACGACUAAGAAGUUUCACAUUAUAUUGUAAAAGUCCACAGUUUGAAAACAAAAGCUUAUAUGAUGAGAUAAUUACAUUUUCGAUUUUCUCCCUAAAGUUUGGUGAAAGCAUAUUUUUCUCCACAUAGUUUUGAGGUGUUAACGAUAAUUUAUUAUUUGCUUUUUAGUAUUGUAGAAGUAUGUCAAGUGUAUCUCGGUUGUCCCCCCUUAAAUACUCCAACCACCCCAUGAAUUGGUUAUUAAAUUAAAUUUAAAUUAUUUUACUUCUUCUUUUUAUUUAACUUAAGAGUAAGAGAAGAAAAAAGAUUUCUUUGUUCAUUGGAUAACGAACUCUUUUUAAAAUCAUGGGAUUUCUUUUUGAUUUUUUUUAGUCAUGAAAACUAUCUACACAAAAACAUUAGAUAUAAUAGCUUCGGCCUUGUCCGCUGAUAGAGAGAGAACGAAAUCGGGAUAAAUACCAAUACCUAUUACGGGUAGAAGAAUCGAGAUCAAAACAAAUAACUCUCGUGGUCCAGAAUAAAAAAAAAAAAAAAGAGUUUGGGGCAUUAAAUAGCUUGUACUCAUAGAACAUUUGCCGUAACAUAGAUAAUGAAUAAAUAGGAGUUAAUAUCAUUCCAAUUGCCAUUACAAAAGUGAUUACUAUUUUUGGCAUUAAAAAAAUUUUUUGGCUGGUAAUUAUUCCAAAAAAUACUAUCAAUUCUGCAACAAAACCACUCAUGGGGCAAAGGUUCUUGUUUAGUGGAUGAGAUUUUUUGUCCCCGUUAGAACUGUUUUUACCUUUUUUCUUAUUAAACAAAGGAAAAGGUAAUAACAACGCCGAUAUUAAAAGGAUGAGCUAAUAUAAUUCAUCCUACUUCUAUCGCAAUUGGAUCUAACUUUUAAAGUCGGUAAAAUAUUUUUUAUCUUACAUGGAACUUAAAAUUCAAAUAAAUCUGCAUGUUAAGGUAAAAAAGGAGAAUAAUUAAGUAAAUAAUUUUGACUAAGACAUAUAUUUUUAAAAUAAUUUUUAAAAAAUACAAAGACUAGCUAGAUAUUUGACUCAAAUCUUAAGGAUCAAAAGAACAUUUAUCCCAAAAAGAAAAUUGUGAGGAUAUUUCCACUCCACUUUUUAUGUAACAACACCCUAUCUUUUUAUAUUUUAUAAUUAUGAUUUUAUAAAUAAAUUAUUCGAAACUCGUGCACUUAUCCUUAAAUCAUAUAUGUUUAACCAAAGAGAAUGAACAGGAUUUUUCUACGAAAAAAUUAGAUUUCUUAGUUUAAGAAUAUACAAUAUUUAUCUUCUUGCUUUCCUUAUAUCUUUCAAGGAAUAAUUCGCUGAAUUGUGAGUAUAUAGUUUUGUGGAUGGAAAAUUAGAAUGAAUAUUCAAUUUCAAUUUUUAAAUUUUGUUUAUAUACUGCUGAGCUGGUUUCAUAACUGAUGAAAAAUUUGUUUUAUUAGGCAAGAAAAGUUUAAGAUUUUACAGUUAAAAUUUAUUUAUUUAUUUAUUUGUUUGUUUGUUUAUUAUUACUAGUAUUUUCUGUUAUGUAUGUACAUGUUCUCCCCAGAAUGCAUUUUGAUUGAGAAACUACUGUCUGUGCAAUUAGAUGCUGCAAUGUAUGUCAUUUAUAUAUGGACAUGUCCCUCUUUUAAUUAAAAUGAUUCAUGGCAUGGCAAUAUUGGCAGAGUCGUUUAUGCAUGUCCAUUUUGAUGCCAUUGAAACUUUAUUGAGCUACAAAGCAAGUGUUUUUUGGCCAAACUUUGUGCAAAAAAAAAAACGGAAUUGGCCCCUAUUGUAAUUUUCUGGUGACUAAGGGUGAGAAAUUAAAGAAGAAUAGUUCCCCCUUUGUAAUAUCCAAAAUUUCAUUUGUUUGUAAAAAUAAUAAUAAUAAUAAUAAUAAAUAAAUGAGCUUAAAUUCUGAUCGACUUAAUUAGGGUUGAAGAAUUCAACUUUGAUAAAUGACAAUGUUGGAUUUAGUCCGUGCCAUGCGAAUGUGGAGUGUGGACUGUAUGAGGCGUGUGGAUUCCACAUACUCGAAAGUCGAAACCUUUCAUUUCAAGCUUGUAGACUUUUAUCCUUUUUCUUUAUAUUGAAUUAUCAUUUUUGUCAGUUUAUACAUAAUUAAUUGAUUGAGACACACGGACCUUGCUACGUUACAGACUCUGUAUGUAACGUAGCAAAUGGGGAGCAUCCGCGCAUUGCGGGAGAGCGGAAAAAUUGCUAGAAAUUAGCUGAUACAAGGUCAGUUUGCAGAACUGUUACAUUCAGACUCUGUAACGUAGUUUUGUCCACACGGACAAUACACAAGUAGAGUCAAAUAAUUGGAGCUAGCUACGUUACAGAUACUGUACGUAACAGAAACUGAAUUGACAAACGACUAAAUUAUAUGCAGCCACGUGUAGGGACGCGUGACAAAUUGACCGGUAAUUAUCCGGUCAAAAGAAAACCAACAAACUUCCAAUGCUUGGGUAAGGAUUAAUUUCAUAUUUACCCUAUUAUUAUUAUUAAUCAUUGGCACACACUAACUUUGAUGUAAGCCUUCAACCCCACCCCCAAAUAGUCAAAUUGUUGUCCUACGCGGUUAAGUUCAAUUACUGGCCAUUUCUAACUAGCACAAAGACAUUAAUGCCCUUAAUUAGACAUUAGGUCAAUGUAAAAAAAUAAACAUAAAUUUAUUUUUUUUAAACUAAAAUUUAGACAAAUUAGUAGUGUAAUUAAUGAAUAAAAUUAUAUUUUAUGUCAUAUGAAUAUAGGGGUAAAUUUUAUUGCAUGCUCAAAUAUACCGAUUACUGUUAAUCUACUCUUGGUAAAGUAUCUUUUUAUUUUCAUUCCUCUUUUUAUGCUACUUUUUUUAAUUUCUUCUUCAACUCCUUAAGGUUUUUUUUCGAUGAAUCUCUCGAAAAACCACUUUGUUGUUCAAAAUAGAAGAAUACACUCAUAUCAGAGAUUUUUUUUCAACUUUAAUAGUGGUGAGUAGAGGUUUCGAUAGCCCUAUAAUGGUGGUUUUUGUGUAGGUUCUACAAGGAAAAAUUUUGUAGGGCGACUUGUUAUUGGGGAAUUUUUUUUUCUUGUCUACUUGUUUUUAUUUUUUAUUUUUUGUUAUUUUAAUGAUAGCUUAGACGUUCAUAAGGGGAAUUAUUUGAAUGAUAUUGAUUUUGGUGAAGAAGCUGCCUUGUGUUUUGGCUUAUAGCUUGCUAGUAACAUUGAUUUAUCUCCAUUGAUUGUUAAGUCAGAUUCGAUAUUUGUGGUGUGUCAAAGUAGGAUUUUCAGGUUCAUUAUAUCUCAAGGAUUUAACAUUAUACUUUAAGUUGUUCAAAUUCUUUUAUAAGGAUGGAAGAUCAUUCAACUUGUAAUCUUUAAGUUUUUGAAUGAUAUGAAUUGUAAUAGUUUCCAUUAAAAAAAAAAAAAAACUCUUGGUACUUCAAACAAUCAUUACUCCAACUUCAUGCAAUUAGUUUUUCAGUUAGCUUGAAUGGUCGAUAACAAUUGAUUGAUGCUUGUAUAUAUUUGCCAUCAAUAUUAUUAAAUGUCAAUAAAAAGACAAAUACCCUUUGGUGAUUUUUUUUUAAUUGGAUAGAUUUUGCAUAAGAAGAUUAGAAGAACAUAUUCUUAUACCAAUUAAUAUAUUUCAAAUUCACCAAAUAAUUAAAGAAAGGGCGGGGUUCUUUAAACCCGUCAAAUUUCUUUCGAAAUCCAUUUUUAAAUAAACCCAUAACUAAAAUUUUAAAAUAUCAAUUUAAUUUCUAUUCAUUUGAGAAUUUCAAAAAUAACCCUUCGUAGAAUUUCUAUACAUUAAUAUUUUUCUAAUUGUUCUUGAUUUGAAUUAACAAAGAGACUUGACUUUGUCAAUUUGAAAAACAUUUGACAUCAUGAAAAGAUAAAUUUCAAUUAACAUUUUCAAUCAAACCUUCUUUGAAUUAUAAAAUCAAUUUUCUAGGUUGGUAUUUACACUGAUAAUUCUUUUUGAAGGGGAGAGGAACUUGUGCGUUUCCAAAUAUUCGUUUAAGAAGUCACAAACCUAACGAUUUACUAGUGUUUAUUGUUUUACAUAAACUCCAGGAAUUGAAAAAUCAAGAGAUAGUUUCAUCUUGUGACACAAUUUUUUUUUUAACCCACAAAAAAUAUUUUUGAUAUACCAUGUAUGCAAUUACAAGAAACUAUUUUAUAUGUAAAUUUGAAUUACAUUUCUCUCAUCAACUAUCAUAUUUUCAAUAUCAAACUAAAAAAAUUCACACUAGUUUAAAUAGAUGGAUGCUGAAAUAUGAAGUAAUUUUGAUACUAACAUGUUUAAAUAAGUAAUUCUAUCAAAGGAUAUUUUAGAGAAAAAAAUAUGUUGACUAAAGAUAAACUCUAGUUGGUUAGUAAACAAGUUCAUUUUUUUUAAAUAGUAUACGAGUUAAAUUUGAUUUUAAUUUGAUUUUAGAACUUUUUUGUUAAAAAAAUCUUACAACUAAAUAAAAAUAAAAUUGAUUUAACUAAAUCAAAAAAUUUGAUUACUGAAUAAAAAAUAAAUUUGAUUUUACUAAAUAUUCGUAUAUUUUACUAUAAAAAUUGACAAGUUAUAAGAUAUAUUUUACUUGAUCAAUUUAAUUCGAUUGAGGCAUGAUAGUUUUUUAAUUCAAUAGUAGAAAAGUUAACGGGUCGGGUAUGUAGUUUUACAUAAAAAGUUAAAGGGUGCAUAUUGAUAUUUGUCAAAAUAUUUGGGUGUGCAUGGAAAUGAACCCUUCUAAAUGUUAAAAACGGUUGCCCGUGAUUAAUUUCUAUUCUGGCCUUUAAUCCCAACCAUCCAAUUUCAGUCUCUAGAUCCAACGAAUCAAAAAUGCAUGGCUGUUACGUACAGUUUCUGUAACGUAGCCAGCUCCCAAAUAAUUAAUUACGUGACGGAUGACAUUUUGAAAAUGAUAUGUUUUUGCUUUUUUUUUUUUUUUUUGAGAAUGGUACGCUGUUAAUAUUUUUCGUAUUUGUUUUCAAAAAUGAAAAUUGAUGUUUAUUUGUGAUUUCAAAUCUCGCGUCUGAUAAAGUAUUUUAAAAAUUGUAAUCUAAAUAAAUAAAUACCAAACUGGCUUUUGAUUCCCGGAUCUUUUAUUUUAAGUUAAGAGAAUUACUAAUUGAACUGAUUUGAACGCACAAUUUAAAGAAUUUUUCAAUAAAGAAAGAGUAAUGAUAUAACUAUAAAUUCUUAUACAAAUUGAUGUGAUAUGAUAAAAUUAGUUGAAUUAAAUAUCUCUUGGCCCACAUGAUUUAUUUAUAUUAUUUUAUAUUUUUAUUCAACCAAUAAAUUACUAUCAUAUCAAUUUACAUAAAAUAAAUUUAUAAAAAAAAUUUAUGACUAUAUCACCAUUUAUAAAAAAAAUAUGUUUAAUAUAGUAUCUGAUGAAAGAAAAUCGUAAAAGCAACAUUAAUUUGUGGUGUUUAAGCUUUCAACUUUUCUUCAAAAAAAGUAAAAAGUAAAAACACCAUUUCUGUCACUUUCCAUAAAUCCUUCAACAACUCACCGAAUUUUAUUCUGGCCUUAUUCUAUCUUUCCUUUUUUUUUUUCCUAUUUAAAUGGAAAAUGGUGUUUAGUUUAGUGAUGACGACAAUAUCUAAUAUCUGUCAAAAAUAGAAAAAUUAUCCCAAAACUACUUUGAAGAACUUUGGGAUAAUUAAUUAAAUGUAAUUGAUCAAUUAUUCAAUUUUCACAUCUUAAACUUUAAACCCAUAAAAAGUCAGACUCAUAUAUAAGUGAGUUUAAACUAUCUUUUUAUGUGAUAAGAAUUAAAAGAAAAUGUUCGACCUACAUGUGACAAGGAGUGAUGAGGAUCGGAAUAUAUCUCACUGACUUAUCUGUAGCUAAUAAAACUAUAACGUUUUUCAUGCUCUUGUACGUGGAGACUCGUAAAUAUUCUGAAUUCACUUGUAUGAACAAAUCUGAAUUACCUUUACAUUUCCAAAAUGAAUACUCCUAAUUGAAAUAAAAGCGAAAAGAAAAAAAACAUAAAAGUUAUAUGUUCUUCAAAAAUUUCUUGGAAAUAGUUAAAAUAAUCAAAUACAUUUGAGGCAUCAAACAACAAACUUCGACCAUAAUCGGAUUGAUUUUGCAAUUAAACACAACGGAUUUUGUUUCUAUAUAUCACCGAAAGUUUAAAGACUUAACAUAUUAUAUGAGUAUUGUAAAUCAAUUAGUCAUUUCCCCCACAAAAUACAUGUCCUACGUACAUCAAGAUUUUUUUUCCCUUGGUCCUGUCCUUGAAUUUUGUACUGAGCUUAAAAACGGUUUUUAAUUUUUCCUUUUGUUUCGAAACUCUCACCUCCUGCUCUUAUUAUUAUUAUUAUUACUCAGCCUUCUGGUACGUAACUAAGACCAAAAAUGUCUGUGGUAUCGUUAUUUGCAGUUUAAUUAUAUUUAAAAUGAGACGAUUGAAUGACGCGUGUUCAUGAAGUGUAUAUAAUAUAAUAUGAAUAUGAAUAUGAAUAUGAUUGCGACAUUACCUGAAAUUUAAGGAACUGAUAAGUACAUAAUCUGUUUAAAUAAUAUUGUAUGGAAGAUUUCGGAUUAGAAUUUAAAAUAUAUGUUUCUUUCAAUCUUUUUCUAUAAUUCAUUGUUCAUAUGACCCUACGUCAAGAAAAUAAAAUACAGAAUAUCUAAUAUCUGAUAUCUCUAUCCAUAGGCAAACAAUUUCAGGAUUUUCUAGUUAACUUCUUAUACAAAGCGUUGAGAUGUGAGUAAAUUAUAUUUGGCCACUAUGUCACCAAAGUAUAUGUCUUUUUCUUUUUGGCUUAGAUUACAAUUAUUGUGCUAAUAUUCCUAAAUGAUCUUAAAACUAAAAGUUUGUCGAAUGACAAGAUCUUAGUUAAUGGUUUGUUUGUCAAUAAAUUAGUUAACCUGUUUUGUAAUAUGAUGACUAAGCUGUAUAUCUCUUGCUCACUCAAAUACAGGCAAAUCUUCAAUGCUUGGAAACUCUUAUUAAUAAAGAAAUGCAAAUAGCUCUUCUCAAAUUAAAUAAAGACCAAUUACCCGACAAUGCUUACUAUUUUCUUAAGUGACGUGAUUGUGCUAAUAAAGUUAGGUGGGGAGAAGAUAUCUAUACACCUAUCUGGAUGCAUGCGCCUGCUUGGACGGUAAGGAAAUGAUAGAAAUUAAAUGCCAAACAAAUAGAUGAUGCAAAGAAAGAGGAUAUAUUGUUGAUAAUUGUAUGAGUUGACUAGCCCAUUUUACACGUGGAAAGUGACUUCGGUUGGUGCAUGCAUGAGAUUUGUUUGAUUUUAGAUGAUGAUUUCAAUCAUUCGGUUUGAAUUUAAAAUUUCAAUAAGUUAGAAACAACGAUGCGGCACGGUAUAUGCGUGGAGUAUAUCUCCCUUUGGACCUUUACUUUUUUCAUGAUUUCAAUUAAUCAAUCUUGUAAUUUAUUUAUAUCUUUAUGAAAGCCAAGUGUACAAGGUACAUAUUUUUUAAGAAUUUUUAAAAAGUAGGUGAAAAACAGAUUUUUAAAAUUUAAUUUUGAUAAUAAAUUUCAUCCUUAAUAUAAUUCUACCUAAGUAGUUUUUCUGAUUUACUUUUAAAUUCCAACAAAAACAGACUAAGGUGGCGUUUGUUUUUUAACUUAAUGACUUAAAGUAACUUAACUUAAUUAAUUAAGUUAAUUAGAGGUAUUUAUUUUUAUAACUUAACGGGACUUUCUAGAUAAUUUUGACUUAAUAAAAUAAGCUAAUUUUUUUAGCUUUUUACUGAAUGAAAAAAUCUGAAUUAAGUCAGUUACUUUCUAAUGUCAAAAAUAUCCCUACUUUAUAAUUUAUUUUUCAUGUCUAUUCCAAAACUCACCCACAAAUAUUUACCCCACAUAAUAAUCUUAUCAUUAUUGUUUUAGCCAUCAUGCAAUCCCUCCUCACUUUGCUUCUCUCGUCUAGUUCUUGAAUCUCCCAUUAAUUUCUCUUGAAUCUCCCAUUAAUUGCUCACCGGGCAAGCACUUUUUUUUUUUUUUUGAUUACAUGAGACUAUUGCUCAAAUUACAACUCAUAUUACAUGAGAAUAUAACUGAUAUUUACAAAUCAUACUCUAACUGGGACCAACAUACAUCAAUACUAAUGGAGCGCUGCCCAGAUUUUAACCCUCUCAAAUAUUUGAGGGAUGUCUACUCCUCACACUUGGGUAAGGAAGCAGACUGCCUUCACUCAAAUUUACUUGAGGAAGGAAGACCCCCACAAUGCAUUGUGGGGGUUCGAACUGCUGCUCUCCAAGUUGGAGAGCAGCAGUUCUCACCACUCGGCCAAAGGCCGAGUGGCUACCGGGCAAGCACUUGACUUGGGCCUUUUUUUUUUACUUUUCAAUUACCUUUUCUAGCAUUCACUUUUAUUAUAUUUGACUUUUCAAUUACGUUUUCUAGCAUUAACUUUUAUAAUAAUCAAUAGCUUUGCUACUCUUUUUGGAUCUGACGCACUUUGUUAUGCGUUUUGGGUAUUGUUUUAUUUAUAUGAAUAUAUUUUGUUAAUUUGACAGUGAUUUAUUUGGGAGAAUUUUCGCUCAUCUGUUUGAUUUCAUUUUUCUUUUUUAUAAUUGAGAUGCUGUUGUGUAUGAUCAAUUGACUGAAUGCAGAUAUGACAUUGCAUUUUUUUUUUUUUUUGUAAUUGGUUGAAGUAGUUUUAAUAGAGCUAUCUUGGGUGGUUACGAAUUUUCCAGUCUCUUUGAAUGAAAUUAAUAAUUGCAAUUGCUGAAAUUAAUAAUCCACAAUUGGUUCCAUUUGAUUGUUUUUUGCGGAACUUUCUCAUAGAUGUCGUCACAAGGGGAGAGAGCAAAUUGGACUGAUCCAGCUUAUAGGAAAUAUUUUAUUGAUCUCUGCAUGCGUGAAGCAAACAAUGGAAAUAGAUCUGGGGCAACCUUGAAGCCUACUGCUUGGAACAGGAUUUCUCAAGAACUGAAAACAUUGACAGGAAAAUCUAUUACCCCGAAACAACUUAAAAAUGGAUGGGAUUAUAUGAAAAGGCAAUACCUCACAUGGCUGAAAUUAACAAUGACAACAGGACAUGGUUACAAUUCUACAACUCGUACUUUUGAUUGGCCACCUGAAAGAUGGGAAGAAUACUUGAAGGUAACAUUUUUUUCUUUUAUUUAAGUGAAUUAUUUAAUAUUUUUACAAUAUAAGUAUAAUCAAUUAUUAUGUUUUGAUUGAACAGAAAUAUCCAGAAGCUAAACAAUUUCGCAAUAAUCCUUUAGCAAAUGUUGAAGAGUUGGAGGCAUUGUUCUCAGGUGCAGUAGCAACAGGAGCUUAUAACUGGAGUUCUGGAAUGGAAGGGAUACCAGAAAUGGGAAAUCUAUCAUCGAUGCUAUCUGAAACUCCAAUUAACGUAGAAGAUAAUGAUUGUGAGGUAAAAACACCAGAUUCAUACACCAAUGUGGAUGAACCACUUCCCGAUGACAUGCAAAGGUGUAAAAAGAAACAAAAGAAAAGCAAAUCGGAUGAAACUCGCGAAGAUAUCAACAAAUUAGUGGCUGUAUUAGAGAAGACUGGUGACAAAGGACCUUCAAUUACUCAGUGCAUGCCAAUUUUGAGAAAGCUACUAACUUAUGACAAUCCCAUGUAUUAUGUGGCUACUAAUGCACUCUGCAAUAAGAGAGAGUAUCGAGAACUAUGGAUGGGCAUGGAGUGUGAUGAAGAACGAAUUGGAUGGAAUUAUAGUUUACCAAAAGGGCCUUAAUAUCUUAUUCCUAGUUCAUUUGUCAAUGUUUUAUUUGGUGUCAUUAUGGAAUUUUUGGAUUAUAUACCUUUUUGUUUAUGCAAUGAAUCAACGUUUUGAUUAAGGUCAUUUGCUGAACUUUUGGUUUGUGCAGUGAAUUGUGUGUUUUGGUUAUUUGAAUAUUUAAUGAAUAUCUUGCUGCUCAAAGUGUGGUUUACGUUGCUUAUAUAUGUUUUUUUUUUUACUUUAUUUUUGUUUUUGUAAUUUCUUAUAAAUUUGUUUAUAUGGUCAGGUUGCUAUAUCCUAUCACAAAUAAAUUGCAGCCUAAGCAAUACUUUGGACUUUAAUAGUAGGUAUGUCAACAUUCAAUUAAUAUUAAAUAUUCUUCUUUAAAUGCUACAUAUAUAAUAUAUAUUUGUUUAUUUUUUUUUGUAUACUAGAUAUGGCUAUGGCUGAUGAAGAAGUUGACAUAAAGAUUGGGGUUAAACGAAUAUUACGGAAACAAUUGAUUAUGUUGGUAAAAAAAUUAUUGAAAGGGUCGACCAAAAGGCAACGAGUAUCUACAUCAUCUUUGACAGGUUCUCUUUACAUUCAAGAACUUUUAAAUGGAUCACCAAUAGUCUGCUAUGAUCUUAUGCGGAUGGAUAAGAAUGGGUUCAUAUCUCUAUGUCAAUUGUUCAAAGAAAAAGGAUGGCUUUCUGAUAGUAAGCAUUUAACUGUUGAAGAGAAAAUGGCUAUGUUCUUAUUUACAAUUAGCCAUAAUCUUCGAAAUCGGUUCAUUAAAAUUAGAUUCCAGCACUCAGGUCAUACAGUGCAUAGGUAUUUUCAUGAAGUACUGUUGGCAAUGAUGAAGUUUUCGAAAGAAAUGAUCACUCCUCCGUCAUUUACAGAUAAUUCAAGAGGCAUCCGUAAUACUCGAUUAAGGCAAAUUUUUAAGGUAUAAAACUUUCUGUAUACUAAUAUGUUGAAGAAUAAAGCUUUUUAUUUUGAUUAUUGAAAUAAUUUAAUUACUAAUAUGUAGGAUUCAGUUGGUGCAAUUGAUGGAACACUUAUUCAUGCAUGUAUUCGAAUUGAUAAACAAGUGCCAUAUAGAGGUCGCAGCAAGGGAGAAUGCUUUCAAAAUGCAAUGGCCCUUUGUGAUUUUGACAUGAUAUUUAGAUAUGUUGUUGUUGGAUGGGAAGGAACUGCACAUGAUUCAAGGGUCUUAACUGAAACCAUUCGUAAUUCAAGAAAUAAUUUUCCUAUUCCACCGCCUGGUAUGUCAUUAUUCAUUAUUUUACCAAUUUAUUCAUUAUAAUUUAUAAUAUUAUAUUUUAUUAGUCACUCAUGUUGAAUGUUUUUUUUAGAUAAAUACUAUUUAGUUGAUGCAACAUAUUCACAUACAAGAGUUUUCAUGGCACCAUACCGUCGUGCGCGUUAUUGGUUAGGUGACUUUCGUAGUGGCGGUCGAGCUAGAGGAAGGGAGGAAAUAUUCAAUCAUGCCCAUGCUAAAUUGAGAAAUGUUAUUGAGCGUGCUUUUGGUGUGCUAAAGGCCCGUUUUCCAAUACUAAAAAGGAUGGCACCAUACUCAUUUGAUACACAGAGACAAAUAGUGGUGGCAUGCAUGGCGAUUCAUAAUUUUCUUCGAAAAAUAUCAGUGGAUGAUGCAUUAUUUGCUCAAUAUGAAAAUGAUGAAGUUGAGCUAGAAAGUGGUCAUGGCAAUCAAAACCACACAACUAAUGCUAUCAACUCCUCAAGUAUUGAAGAUCAAAAUUACAUACGACAACUUCGAGAUGAAAUGGCAAAUCAAUUGUUUCAAGCAUCUUAUUAGUUUUUUCUUUCUUAUAUUAUAUACGAUAAAAUUUGAAAUUUAUGGUAUUUCAUAUAUUAAAAUUCCAAAAUCAUUACGUAUUCACUUAAAUAUAGUUUUACUUAUAAAUGUUAAAAUAUUGUGGUAUUUAAUAUAUUAUUUAUUUGACAUUUAAAUUUAAUAAGGAUACAAAUGUAAAAGUACAUAUUUUCAGCUUUUUCAGUUUAAAAAAACAAACAACUUAAUACUUAUUUUCCGAGAUUCAGACGAAAAAAUAAACAUAUUAUUCAGAUUCAGACUAAUUCAGGUCUAUUUAGAUUUCAGACAAAAAAACAAACGCCACCUAAGUCUUACAUACUUCAAGUGAAAAGUGCGCUGAGUGAAUUUCAACAUAAAUAAGGAUGGUUUGAAUAAUUUUUAAAAAUUCAUAAUCUAAUUAAAUUGCAUAAUUAGCCGAAACCUAAAAGACUAAAAGAGUGUUUACCUAAAAAAAGCUAAUAAUUAUUGGACUAAACUAAAAGCUCUUAAUGCUUUACAAUCAUCAACGUUCUCCGAAAUUGCCAGUCCACGAUUAUGCAUUCUCAUUAAUUUCAAUCUUGCUAAUGAACGUGAGAAAUCAGCUUGAUAUUCAUUUUAGUAUUCCAUUAUUUUAAUUAAAUUUGAUUAGAAAAGAUUUGCAUUAUAAUGAAGAUUUGGUGAUUGAAAUUCUUUGUAAAAUCUCUUUGGCGAUUCAAGUUUGUUUGUAAAUCUUGGUAUUGUUUAAUGUACAUGAAACCUAAGUUUCAUCACAAAACACCUAAAAAAGGUCAAAACCCGUCUAAUUUUUCAUUUAGAUAAUUGAAAAUGGUGAUUCAUAUUAUUAUCCUAGUAAUUUGUUUUUUAUGCAGUGUCAUGCAUCUUCCAAAAAUUGAUUCCGAUCAUCGGCCUAUUCUAGUCAAAUUCCAGAACAUGGAUUCCAGGCAUGGGGCCCGAGGCCGUUUCGGUUUUUGGCUGCAUGGCUCACGAAUGAGAGGUUUGGGAGUUUUGUGAAUGGUAGCUGGAAUAAGGGAGCGAAUUUUCUCGAGGCGGUGGCUGAUUUUACUAAACAAACUAGGCGAUGGAACAAGGAAAUUUUUGGAAAGAUUAUUUAUCGGAAGCGGAAAUUGUUGGCUAGAAUAUGUGGGAUCCAACGAAUUUUGGAAACUAAGCCUAAUCAUAGCCUUACUAGACUUGAAGUUAAACUUCAGAAGGAGCUCGAAGAGGUUCUCACUCAGGAAGAAUUAUUGUGGCUUCAGAAAUCCAGGAGAGAUUGGACUUUGUAUGGUGACAGCAACACUGCCUAUUUCCAUAAAAAAAAAAACUCUAACCAGGCGUCGUCAGAAUCGGAUUACUGUGAUUCAAAAUGAUACUGGGCAGUGGAUAUACGACGUCGAGAUCAUUAAGCAACUUGCAGUCAGAUUCUUUUCAGAAUUAUACACGCCUGAACAAGGGGUGCAUAGCCCAUAUACUUUCAGGGGGUGUUUCCCUGUGAUGUCGGAUGAUAUUUGUUUAAGCUUGAUGUCUGCGGUAAUAGAUGAGGAAGUUAGACAGACUAUUUUCAGUAUGAAUCCCUUCAAAGCUCCCGGAGUUAAUGGCUUUCAUGCUGGUUUUUACCAAGCGCAAUGGAGUACAGUUGGUAUGUCGUUGUGUUCUUUCAUUAAGAAUAUUUUUAAUUCUAAUCAUAUCCCUGCAGAGAUCAACAGAACCUUGCUGGUGCUCAUCCCUAAAGUUGAUCAUCCAACAAGCCUCAAGAUGUUUCGGCCGAUCAACCUUUGCACAGUUCCGUAUAAGACGGUGACGAAAAUUAUUGCAGAUAGGCUACAUGCUCUUCUUCUAGAUCUCAUUGGCCCCUAACAAACCAGUUUUGUACUGGGUCGGCAUAUUACAGAGAAUAUUGUUAUUGCUCAAGAGGUAAUCCAUACAAUGAAGAAAAAGGUAGGGGGUAAAAGAAUGAUGGCCUGUUAAAGUGGACUUGGAAAAGGCUUAUGACCGGUUGAGUUGGUGCUUUAUUCAAGAAACUUUAAAGGAAGUUGGGCUACCAGAGCGAUUUAUUCACCUCAUAAUGGAGUGUUUGUCCACAGCCCAAAUGAAUGUUUUGUGGAACGGAGAAAUGACUGAAGAUUUUCGGCCAGGGAGAGGAAUUAGACAAGGAGACCCCCUUUCGCCUUAUUGGUGGUUGUCGAAGCCAACAAAAAUAAAUUCAUACUCUAAAUAAAUUGUGUAUAGUGAUUGAGUAAGGUCGUGUCCACAAAGAUCGAUAAUUAUUUAAAUCCUUUUAAAAUGUAAAACAUAAAAUGGGGGUUUUGUUGACAAUAAUAAAAAUCAAAUUAAAAUAACAAGAAUGCAAAUUAAAGUUGUAAUUCAAAUUGGAGAAAGCUCUGGUUGAAGGAAUUAACUCAGCUUGAUUCGGCUACUAAUCAUUGAUUCAAAUAUAGAUUAUUAUUACUUAUGAAUAGACCGGUUAUAGCUACUAAGACCCUCUAAUAGCCAAUCUCUCCUUAACUAGUCGAUAACCAAGGUACGACCGUUGGCUAUUUCCCUAAUCAAUAGACAACCCUAGAUACGAUCAUAGGAUUUAAUCAAUUGACAGCCUGAAAGACCAGAGAGACCCAAAUCCUAAUCAACACAUACGAUGAUUCAUUUAAAUUAGAUUGUUUAUUCUCAUAACACAACUCACUGCUAUGUUAUUUGUCACAAACAUUAAAAUCUUCAUACGAUGAAUCCUUUAAUUAACAAUAGAUUAAGUUGAUAAUUAAAUAGUGGCCAAUUACCUAAUUAACAAACAUAAUCAUGGAAAUAAUUCAGAGAAUAACAAAUACCCAAAAAGCAAUAAAAUAAUUAAAGCAUAAAAUAGAUCUCACAGUAGUGACGAAUCAAAACUUCAAUAUCCUUCAACCAGAAAAAUAGGUUUAGUUCUUCAUAGAGAGAAGAGAAAAGUUUAGAUCUAGGGUUUCUUUCUUUUCUCCAAAAGUCCCCCUUUUCACAAUAGAUUCCUCUCUUAAAUACUCUCUCUCUCUUCUCCUCUAGAAUUCUAUUUAAAAUAAAAUACUAAUAUCUGAAAUAUUAAAUUCGUAAUUACAAAAAUAACCAAAAAUACAAAACACGUUAAACUAAAAAUUGUAGGUCCGUAGUUGACAGCACGUGCCCACGCCUUAUCAACAAAGUUCUUCUAACACUCAUAAUUUCUCCAAGAGAACAAUCGUCUUUAAACAUCAUCUUAUAGCUCAAUUUUAUCACAAAUCAAUAGAAUUGCACCUACAAAAGUAAAACACAAGUAAAUCAUCAUUAUUAAGUGCAAAACAUCGAUAUUAAGGGAAGUAAACAAUGCAAAACUAGUGCAUAAAUUGCACUCUAACAAAUUUCCCCACACCAAGAUGAUGCUUGUCCUCAAGCAUAUAACUCAAGACUAAUCCCAAAUCUCCACUCAAUUUUCAUCUCAGCUCAUCCAAAAAUAAUUUUAAGCAAGCAUACCUCAAGAAUUUAAGUGGAUCAACAUUCGAGAGACAAGGAUUUUUAAAGCAUAGAAUCUCAUAAGAUAGAAUAAGAACAUUCAACCACCAAGAAGAUCCAUUCAAAAUUCAAGUGCAACAAGAUUUAAUAGCCCUCUCAUUGACUUCACUCCAUGCACUUAAAGUGUUUAGGGUGUCAUUUAUUCACUCAAAUCAAAUCAAAGAAUGCUAUUACAAUAAGCUUGCUUAUAUAUCACAUCUCAAUCCACAAAACAUGAAUUAAAUGCAAAAAUCUAAGGGUCUUAAAAAGGGUGUAAUGGGGUUAAAUAGGUUAAAUGAAAAAGAAAGGUAUACGAAAGAAAAAGAGAUCAAAAUGAGAAGAAUGAACUCAUUGAAUGAACUUAUGAUAUCAAAAUGCUUAUUUCUACUCACGGUGCUUAGAAUGUAAACAUUUUUUUUCUCUUUUUUUGAUUUUUUUUUUCUCUUUUUUUUUUUUUCUUUUUCUCUUUUUUUUUUCUUUUUCUUUUUUGUUUUUUUUUUAUCAAACAAAAGAAACAAACCUUGCACAAUUUAAUUCAAGCAUAAUGCUUGUUGAUCUAAUUGAGAAACUUUAAUACAAGGUAGAAAAAGCAACAAAAUAUAUAUAAAUAUAUCCACACAAUGAGUCCAAAAAUCUCCUUAAAUUGAGGCUCAAAAAAGAAGAAACAUGGUUAAGUAGACGGAGAGAAUUAGAUGGGUAAUAGUUAAGGCUCAAACAAAGAUAGCAAAUAAAGGUCUUCGGGUAGAGAAAAAAAAAUGUGAGAAUAGAAAAAUGGAAAGUGGUUUGCCCUUAUCAUUUUAAUGCAUAAAAUCCCGUAAUGCGGCUUCAACAUGCAUAACAAAGCAAGUUCUAGAAUAUACAAACUAAGAUUGAUAUUCACAUAACAAAAAUAAUUAGAGCAAAGUGGUUGCUCAUAGGCUCAAAUCCUCACAAAGUUGGUAAAUUUGCCAUCAAAUCAUGUACACUCUUUAAAUGAAUCAACUAUCAAUAGUGGUGUAGAAUGAGAAGAAGGUAUGAGUGAGAUAUAAAAGGAAAGGUAAAAAGGAUAAUAAGCGAGAAAGAUGUAUGUAGUAAAAAAAUGAAAGAUAAAAUGUGAGUGAUGAAAGAGUAUGAUAGAAAAAAAAAUAGAUGUAAAUAAUUUGAGAUAGAUGGGAAAACAGUAGUGAGAGAGAAAGGAAAAGAAAAUUAAUAAUAUAUGAAACAUAUUAACUCCAAAAUCAUUUAAUGAUGAGUAGAGUGAAAAUAAUACUUCCAGACAUCAAUAAUGCAAAAAUCCCUCCCCCAAACCAAGAACUUACAUUGUCCCCAAUGUAAGAUAAUCAAAGCUUACAUAAAAAUUAAAGCGUAAGGAUAAAAGAUUAAAGGCAAAAACUUCCCUGAAUUGUGAGCUUUGAUCCUCAUAACAUCUAUAGGCUUGGCGGAAAUGGUGGGAUAAAUCCCACACUCUCAAAGUAUGCGGCCAAAUUCUGCUCCAUCUUGUUCAGCUUGUGCUCUAUUUUCUCUAACUGAAUGCUCAAAGGUGGUGCGGAUGUAGAAGGAAUAGUCGGCGGGACAACAGCGUCGGCGUCAAACUCGUCAUCAGAGGUAGCACUACUUCUAGCAUAGAGCUUCUUUGGAGGUUGAGUGGGUCUUGGUUCAGUAAACUUUCUUUCUUUGGUUGAGUCAUAAAUGCAAGGCACCCUCCGAGAUUGGAUUCCGCAAGUGGCAAAACACUCAUGUCUUUUCCAUGUUUCAAUCUUUGUCUCAUGGCUUGGCGUGAAUCUGAAACUAUGUUCCAUGGAACUGCAAUCUUGGAUUUCUUUGCGACGAGUGUCUUUUUAGAUGACUUGGAAGUUGAUGCUUUCCUCUUCGGCAUUGUUACAAUAAUUUCACUCACGGAUUUCGAUUCACCCGGCUGGAAUACAGGGCAUAGGCUGAUUGCGGACGAUUGCUGCUCAGCUAGAGCUUGCUGCGCGGGUUGGGGCUGGUUGGGCACUGCUAGUUGCGUGCGGGAUGCUGCGCGCUGGGGCUGAUUCUGUUGCGCUAAUGGGCUGCUGGAUUUGCGCGCUGAGGUUAAUUGCACACGAGGGCUGGGCUGACGCUGGUUUUGCGCACUGCUGGGCAAAGGCUGGAUCUGCGCGCGCGGGUUGCUGCUCGGCUGCUCGGUGAAGGUUGGAUCUGCGGGCGCGCGGGAUGGAGCUGGUUGCGCGCACGGCUGCUGCUGCUGCAUGGGCUGGUUCGCGAUGGUGGAUUGCUGGUGCUGCGUGGCUGCUCGGUGAAAGCUGGAGAAGAAAACCAAUUCUGUGAAUUAGGGAUUUUGUGAAUAGUAAAUUUGUUUUUUUCGUUUUUUUUUUCAAAAAAAUAUAUAUAUAUAUAAAAAAGAAAGGAAAAAAAAGUUUUUUUUUUCGUUUUUUUUAAUUUUCAAAUAAAUAAAUAAAUUUUUUUUUUUUUUAAUGAUGAACCACUUUGAGACACUAAAAAUUUCAGAAGUACUUUUCAAAUAAGCACGUGGGCAUGCCUUAAAACCAUUUUACUUUAAAAAUCACAGAAGUACUUAUUAGUUAAGACGUGGGCACGCCUUAUCAAAAAUUUUCUUCUGACCAAAAUAAACAAAUCAUUUGGGUUGCCUCCCAAAAAGCGCCUUUAUUUUAUGUCUUUGGUUAGACACAUUUAUGCAUCACUCUCCAUAAUUGGGACUCUCGAGAGCCACAUCCUCCACAAUAUUCACCGAAAGAGCUUCAUAAAAAGAUUUUAAGCGAUGACCAUUAACCUUAAAAACUUUGUCAGAGGUCGGACUCCGAAUCUCAACUGCACCAUGAGGAAAAACAUUAGUAACAAUAAAAGGUCCAACCCAGCAAGAACGUAAUUUACCCGGAAAAAGUUUAAGCUUAGAAUGAAAAAGAAGAACUUUUUGACCAACAGAGAACUCUUUUCUCAAAAUCAUUCUAUCAUGAAAUGUCUUCGCUUUUUCCUUGUAAAUAACUUCCUGCACUAUAGGGUUAAUAACAUCCACAGAAAAUACCGAAUGUUCCUCACUAGAAUAUUUCAUGGCAUCAUUCAUAUUGAAUUCUAUAACCUCUCCAUCAAACUCCAUAGUGAGAGUCCCUUUAUGUACAUCCAUUUUAGUCCUAGCAGUCUUAAGAAAAUGUCUUCCUAGCAAAAUUGGGACAAAAUUGGAGGAGUUAUCCUCUUCCAUAUCAAGUACAUAAAAAUCAGCAGGAAAAACCAACUCAUUAACUUGUACUAAGACAUCUUCUAAUACCCCAUCAGGAUAUGCAUUAAAUCUAUCAGCUAGUUGAAUUAUCACGCCAGUUUCUUUUAAUGGACCAACAUUCAAAGAUGAAUAAAUGGAACGAGACAUGACAUUAAUAGAAGCUCCUAGAUCUAACAAAGCAUUUACAAGGGAUAGUAAACAUACCUGGAUCCUUGCACUUAAGAGGUAGUUUCUUUUGGAGAACUGCUGAAACAUUCUCCCCCAUGUGAACUUUUUCAUCUCCUCUUAAUUUUCUCUUGGAGGUGCACAGUUCCUUAAGGACUUUAGCAUAUCGAGGUAUUUGUUUUAUAGCAUCUAAUAAAGGAAUAUUUACCUCAACAUUGCGAAAUGUCUCAAGGAUAUCUUUCUCUUGUUCCUCCUUCUUGGAUUUUACAAACCGGCUUGGAAAAUGAGGAGGUAUCACAAUAGGUAGGGAUUUCGCUCUGGUGGGUUGCGCAUCUUGAGAUUUAGGCAUCAAUUCAUUCUUCUCAAGCUCAUCUUCUACAUGCUUUGCCACUUUUUUACUAGGCUCUUGCAACUCCUUCCCACUUCUAAGGAUGACAGCACUAAGGUUUUGCUUUGGAUUCACCUCAGAUUGUGAAGGUAACCUCCGUAAUACUUGAGACUCCAGACGGCUCACUGUAGUCGCCAAUUGACUCAUUUGGUUCUCCAAGUUCUGAAUGCUUGUUGUAGUUGCCUGCUGAAAUUGUUGAGUGUUAGUUGCAAGUGAUUUAACAAUUUCUUCAAGAGAUAUACCUGACUUGGAGUUUGACUGUGGAGGUGCUGGUUGUCUUGGUGGAUACUGUUGUGGGAAUCCUGAUUGCCUAACUCCAUAGCUGAAGUUAGGAUGAUCCUUCUAUCCCGGAUUGUAUGUUUGUGCAUAAGGAUUAUACCUCCUCUGAGGCAUGCUUGGAAAUCCUCCAACUGCAUUGGCUUGUUCAACGAGUUCUUCUUGAAAUGUAGGACACAUAUCAGUUGAAUGACCCAUAUUGGAGCAAAUGCCACAAGUCUUUACCUGUUGCACAUUACCUACAGCAAACUUUUCCACAAGAGAAGUAAGUUUAUCUAAACGUUGUUCAACAGAAGAAAUAUUUACCUCAUUCACCGUUCUUGAAGUGGCAUCUUGCUUGCUGCCAAAUUGUUGUGCAUUGGCAGCCAUAUUUGAGAUCAACUCCCUUGCUUGAGUAGGAGUCUUGUUCACCAACACACCUCCACUAGCAGCAUCUAUCAUACUCCUAUCCAUUAAUGAUAGUCCUUCGUAAAAAUAUUGAAUAAGAAGUUGAUCCGAAAUCUGAUGCUGAGGACAGCUGGCACACAAUUGUUUGAAUCGCUCCCAAUACUCAUACAAAGUCUCCCUAGGAAGUUGUCUGAUCCCACAAAUAUCUUUUCUGAUGUUGGCAGCUCUUGAAGCAGGAAAGUACUUCUCGAGGAACUGCCUCUUCAAACCAUUCCACGUUGUAAUCGAUCCAGGAGGCAAGUAGUACAACCAGUCUUUAGCUAGCCCAUCUACAGAGAACGGAAAAGCACGCAGCUUAAUAUGCUCUUCAGUCACGCCUUGUGGUCUCAUACUUGAACACACAACAUGAAACUCUUUAAGAUGUUUAUGAGGAUCUUCACCUGCAAAACCAUGAAACUUGGGUAAUAAAUGAAUAAGACCAGACUUUAGUUCAAAAUUUACCUCCAAGUCUACAUAUUGAAUGCAGAGUGGUUGCUGAUUCAAGUCUGGUUCAGCUAACUCUCUAAGAGUUCUUUCUACAGGUGCAGCUCUAUCCAUCACUUGUUCUUCCGAAUCGCUAGAUGAUUCAAUUAAAUCAGGCACCGUAUCUGUUUCAGAAAGCAAAGGCGAUGAGGAUCGUUGCUUAUCUCGCUUCGUCUGCUGUCUCAGCUGGCGAGCUGUCUUCUCAAUUUUAGGAUCAAACGAAAGUGUACAUGUACGAGAAGAACGAACCAUACACCAAGUAAAACGUAAAAAAGAUUAAAUAAAUUACACCAAUCCCCGGCAACGGCGCCAAAAUUUGGUGGUUGUCGAAGCCAACAAAAAUAAAUUCAUACUCUAAAUAAAUUGUGUAUAGCGAUUGAGCAGGGUCGUGUCCACAGAGAUCGGUAAUUAUUUAAAUCCUUUUAAAACGUAAAACAUAAAAUGGGGGUUUUGUUGACAAUAAUAAAAAUCAAAUUAAAAUAACAAGAAUGCAAAUUAAAGUUGUAAUUCAAAUUGGAGAAAGCUCUGGUUGAAGGAAUUAACUCAGCUUGAUUCGGCUACUAAUCAUUGAUUCAAAUAUAGAUUAUUAUUACUUAUGAAUAGACCGGUUAUAGCUACUAAGACCCUCUAAUAGCCAAUCUCUCCUUAACUAGUCGAUAACCAAGGUACGACCGUUGGCUAUUUCCCUAAUCAAUAGACAACCCUAGAUACGAUCAUAGGAUUUAAUCAAUUGACAGCCUGAAAGACCAGAGAGACCCAAAUCCUAAUCAACACAUACGAUGAUUCAUUUAAAUUAGAUUGUUUAUUCUCAUAACACAACUCACUGCUAUGUUAUUUGUCACAAACAUUAAAAUCUUCAUACGAUGAAUCCUUUAAUUAACAAUAGAUUAAGUUGAUAAUUAAAUAGUGGCCAAUUACCUAAUUAACAAACAUAAUCAUGGAAAUAAUUCAGAGAAUAAACAAAUACCCAAAAAGUAAUAAAACAAUUAAAGCAUAAAAUAGAUCUCACAGUAGUGACGAAUCAAAGCUUCAUUAUUCUUCAACCAGAAAAAUAGGUUUAGUUCUUCAUAGAGAGAAGAGAAAAGUUUAGAUCUAGGGUUUCUUUCUUUUCUCCAAAAGUCCCCCUUUUCACAAUAGAUUCCUCUCUUAAAUACUCUCUCUCUCUUCUCCUCUAGAAUUCUAUUUAAAAUAAAAUACUAAUAUCUGAAAUAUUAAAUUCGUAAUUACAAAAUAACCAAAAAUACAAAACACGUUAAACUAAAAAUUGUAGGUCCGUAGUUGACAGCACGCGCCCACGCCUUAUCAACAAAGUUCUUCUGACACUCAUAAUUUCUCCAAAAGAACAAUCAUCUUUAAACAUCAUCUUAUAGCUCAAUUUUAUCACAAAUCAAUAGAAUUGUACCUACAAAAGUAAAACACAAGUAAAUCAUCAUUAUUAAGUGCAAAACAUCGAUAUUAAGGGAAGUAAACAAUGCAAAACUAGUGCAUAAAUUGCACUCUAACACUUAUAUUUUUGUGCUUUGUAUUGAAAGAUUAAGCCAUGGUAUUAUUUAGGCGGUUAAUCAAGGUAGAUGGAAGCCCAUUCGGCUGACUAGAAUUGGCACUCCUCUAAGUCAUUUAUUUUUUGCGGAUGACCUGCUUCUCUUUUUGGAAGCAAUUACGGUCAAGUUGAUGUAUUGAAUGGCGUGGUAGAGAAUUUCUGUAGGAGCUCGGGCGCUAAAGUUAGUAAACAGAAGACCCAAAUUUUCUUUUCCAAAAACAUCUCGGUCACUUUAGCUAAUGGAAUUGGCAAGGCUUUAGGCUUCUCGAUUACAAAUAAUUUGGGCAGAUAUCUUGGCAUGCCUCUUCUACAUGAUCGAGUUUCGAAGAAAAUGUAUCAGAGUAUCAUUGACAAAAUUGAUCAGUGGCUAUCAGGAUGGGCAUCAAAGCAGUUGUCUCUAGCAGGGCGAGUUACUCUUGCCCAAUCGGUGCCUCAGGUAAUUCCGAUUUACGCUAUGCAGACCACGCAUCCCCCGUCUAGUGUCAGAGUUAAAAUUGAUCAACUAUGUAGAAGAUUCAUUUGGAGUGGGGCUGGUUCUCAACGUAAGUUAAGUCUGGUUAGUUGGAACAACAUUUGUAGGCCCAAGAGUAAUGGAGGGCUCGGCUUCAAGGACAUGGAAAUUAUGAAUAAAGCCUUAUUAAUGAAAGUGGCUUGGGAUUUAUUCAUAAAUCCUAGCAAGCUGUGCUCCCAGGUUUUAAUCUCUAAAUAUGCUGCGCGUUGUGAUAUGCCUAUUACUGAUGUUCCACCCAAAAAUGGUUCCUAUUUAUGGCGUUCUAUGGGUAAGAUUUGGAAAGACUUCCAGAAGGGUUUGCGUUGGAGUAUUGGAAAUGGCCAACGGGUGAAGUUUUGGGAUGAUAUUUAGGCUGUUAACAUAUAUGUUUCCACAAUGUUGAUUUUGAUGAUAACAAACAAGAUUAAGAAUGAUUAAUCUUUUAAGCUCAAAUUAUUGAAAAAUAUAUUUUGAAUAAAUCAUUAUUUUUACAUUAUAAAUGUUUUAUAUUUAAUGGAAAAAUGAUUUUAUGAAAUUGGUUGUUUUUCAAAGUUUAUGAUUUAAUUGAAAGAAUUUUGAAAACUUUGAAAUAAACAAGUAUUGCUUGAAAUUUUGGAAAAGGACUUAUUUGAAAAGUGUCAUAGCAUUUUGGUCUAUAUCAUAAUUUCAGAAAGUUUUAGGAUUGACAAAGUAUUAUUUAAAAUUCUGAAAUUGGACCUAUUUGAAACUAUUUAAAUAUUUUUGGGUCAUUCUAUAAUUUCACAAAAUUUGGGCAAAAUCAUAAUUUCAGAAAGUUUGGGAUUAACGAAGAAUUAUUUAAAAAUUCUGAAAUUGGACUUAUUUGUAAAGUUUCAUAACUUUUUGGGUCAUAUUAUAGUUUUAUAAAGUUUUGGGGUCAAACUAAAAAUAUUGGAAAAUUUUCACUGUAGCAGGUUACUGUAGCAAGCGGCUUACCGGAUUCAGAAAACCGGAAAUCCGGAUUCGGGGCAGUAAGCAUCCAGAACGAAAACGGCUUACCGGAUUCCUGAAUCUGGCAAACCGAAUUUUGCCUUAACGGUAACAUAAAUCCGGCUUACCGGAUUCCAUAAAACGGUAAACUGGAUAGCCCAGAAUGUGAGUAACGGCUAGUUUUCGAGCUCAAGCUAUAAGAACUCAAAUCCAACUCAUUUUGAAGCUCUCCAACAAGCAAGAACAAAAAGCACACAUGAUAUCUUGAGCCUUCAACUUGUAAAACACAAAUCAUUGAAUCAUUCAUUGUUCUUCAUCUUUGAAUAUCUACUCAUUGAGUGAGUUUCAUUGUAUCUUUCAUUUCUUCAAUUCAUUUGUAAGAGUUUGAGUGUGUGAGACAUUUUAGUGAAGAGAUUGGGAGAUAAUCUCUUUGUUGUAAAGGUUUAUUGACACCUCGAAGUCAAUUGUAAUUGUUGAAGCCUUGGAAAGGCUUGGAUAGUGAAAUCCUCAAGCUUGGAUCGCUUGGAGGCGUGGACGUAGGCGGGGAUUGCCGAACCACGUAAAAAUUCGUGUGUUUGUUUCUCUUCUCCCUUACUCUUUAAUUAUUGUGCUAUUAUUGAACUUAUUGUUUUCAAUUGUUGUUAAGACAUUAGAUUGCUUGUUGUGUGGAUUUGCUUGGUUAAUUUUUAAAUUUCCAAUUCACCCCCCCUCUUGGGUUGCACACUUAUAUUUCAUAGGCUACUAAUGGUGAUCCCUUAAUCAACUAUACGGUGGCUUCAAUUCCUGAUAGCAUGCGAAAUAUGUUGGUGGCGGAUUGUAUUGAUCAAAAUGGGAAUUGGUUAUGGAACAGAUUCAGCUCUUUGUUGAAUAACCAUGUUGUUUUAAGGAUUGCUUCCAUGGCUCCUCGGUCGGCAAUGAGAGGCGAUGAUAGGGUGUAUUGGGGUGCAUCAAAUACUGGCAUUUUUACAGUCCAAUCAGCUUACCAAGUGCUUACGAAUUUUUGCCCCAUUGAAGACUGUCAAGACUGGCGGCAUUUGUGGCAAUGGAAGGGGCCUCAAAGCGUAAGACUUUUUUUAUGGUUAUUAUGCCAUGAUCGAUUGAAGACGGGAUAUGAGCUUGCUAGAAGGCAUCUGGACAUUGAUCCUUUAUGUAGGAGGUGCCAUGCAGAAGUUGAGAGUUCUUUGCAUGCAAUCCGGGAUUGUGCUUAUUCGAGAGGUGUUUAGAGGAAGCUUGUUCCUGUGCUUAGACAACAUGACUUUUUUAGUUAUCCUCUUCGGCAAUGGAUCAUGACAAAUCUUAGGAGCAGGUCCUGUGAUAUGGGGAGUUUAUUUUGGUCGGUUAUGUUUGGUGUUGCUGCUUGGAGAAUUUGGUACUGGAGGAAUCAGGUGAUGUUUAACAAUAAGAACUGGAAUGGUGAUUUGAUCGUCUGGGAUAUUAAGGCAAGGGCUGAGAAUAUUUGUUCUACCCUAUCAAGCGUAGUCUAUCGAAGAAAUAGAAGGAUUCAGAAAUGGAUUCGUUGGGCUCCUCCACCAUGGCCUUUCUUGUGCUUAAAUAUGGAUGGUGCAAGGAAAGGAAAUGGAGAGGCGGGUGCAGGUGGUCUGCUGUGGGACUGCCAUGGUAAAUUUAUUCAUGGUUUCAACGCAAAUCUUGGAGUAUGUUCGGUUAUAAAGGCUGAACUUUGGGGUGUCUUGCAUGGGUUAAGAAUGCCAGAAUGGUAUGGGACCUUGGCUAUAGACGUAUCCAAGUUGGAAUAGAUAACUGUAGUGCGGUGCAGCUUAUAAAGGAGAAUAAUGCUAAUGUCAAUGAAUUUUCGAAUAUAAUCGAGAUGAUUAGGGAACUCAUGAGGAGGGAUUGGAGGAUUCAAAUUGAUUACAUCUACUGCGAAGCAAAUUCGGCGGCUGAUUUCCUUAUUACGCAUGCUUUGAGUUUGCCUGUUGGAGUGCAUUUUCUUCAUUCUAUCCUUUUAGGUUUGAGCUAUAUUUUGUAUUCGGAUAUGUAUGGGGUGGCACACCCCCGUUUUGUGCCCCUCUAGGUCUUCUAUUUUAGAGCCCUCUUUUUAUCAAAAAAAAAAAAAAAAAAAAAAGGUAGAACUGCCAAGGAAGGUUCCAUGAUGAUCUCUAGAAAUUCCCCCACAAGCAGAUAACCUAGGAUUAUUCUUACUAUUGACCUUUAUCAAAUUUGGAGGGGACGUCAUAUCACUGUAGCUAUUUUCGAAGCUUUUCCAAAGCUUGGAUCAUUAACCAACCGGGCAAAAAUUGCCAGAUCAUGAAAGUGUGCCACAGUACUCCCUAGGCAAGAUUGACAAAGAGUGAAUAUUAAAUUUUUACAGUAAGCCAUGGCAUUAUGAAAAGAGAGAUACAUCUUGAAAUCAAAUAUAUUCAUUUUUCGUUUUUAAAUUAUAGCUUAAUGUACUACAAGAAAUUUGACUUUUUAAGAUGAUAUUUUUUACAACGCUUUAAAAUUUGGUCACGAAAUGAUAUUAUUGUGAUGAAUUUAUGAAAUCAUAUCCGAUAAUUUUGUCCUGACUUGUGUUAUAUUUUGUGACCAAUAAUUUUAUUGUGGGACACAAUAUUUGGUAUCUAAUUCAACCUUUGUGUGACAAUCUUUAUUUUAGUCACAAAAGAACAUAGUAUUUUGGCGCAAAAAUUUCCCUCCAAAUUUGAAACAUUUUGGGACAAUAUUUCUUCAUUUAUGACCAAAGAAAUGGUCGCAAAAAUAUAAGUAUAGGCGACAACACUAUUUCGUAACUAAACAAUAAGUGUAAAUUUAACCAAACUAUCCAUGACGCAUAUAUUUGUGUCCAUCUUUUGGUCGUGGAUGAGUAAUUACAGUAACAAAACUAAAAGUAGUAGCCGAAAGUUUUGUCUUGAAUAAAUCUUUAUUUUUGUGACCAAGUUAUAUCAAUAUAUAGUAAAUAGAAGAAAAAAACAAAGAUCAGAGAUUGAUACAUUAACAAAACAAUCAUGGAAAUGAAGCCUGAUAAGGCUGGCACCGAUAUGAAUAUCGGACAAGAAAGCUUUCUGAAGCACCCCAAUAAUUAUGUUGGUUACAUUAGGGCAUGUGGAAGAAUAAAAAAAGGGAGACAGUUGAGCUUGAGAUGGUGAUGAUCCCUCUAGAACAAUAGCAACUACAAGAGCAGCUGCAAGAAGAUAACGCAGAGUGGCCAUUUGAAGAG
Molecule: long non-coding RNA, 70034 nt
Filed under: Citrus maxima (pomelo)
Lineage: Eukaryota; Viridiplantae; Streptophyta; Magnoliopsida; Sapindales; Rutaceae
Description: long non-coding RNA (CMAX_LNC000473)
Rfam family: Plant small nucleolar RNA R71 (bases 63472-63578)
Source: RNAcentral